GAGACUGUUGGAGGUAUGCCCUAGAGGCAAUCAUAGAGAUGAUGAUAUUCCAUUUGUAUCCAUGAUUUGUAUGUUGUGUUCAUUGAAUAUCCAUUGAAGGCUACUUGAAUUGAUUUACAAUUAUGUGAAUUGUAUGUGAAACUCUUUACUUGUAUGGUUAUUCUAAAGUUGUCCCUAGUCGGAGUUCAUGUGAGGACACACAUGAAUAUUAGACUAGCACAUGUAUUAGUUGAUGACUAUGUUUCACAAGUCAUGGACAUGGAGAUGUUGAACAAAUAAUGUGGACACAUGUGGAGACAUGUGCUAGGACUGAUCCAACACGAGAAGUAGUUCUCUCUUUAAACAACAUAUACGCUUUGUCCUUAGACCUGAGAUUGUCGCAUGUAUUCUAGAUGUGGAUCGACCUACUUAGGGGCUAUCAAACGCUACGCCGUAACAGGGUAGUUAUAAAGGUAGCUUUCGGGUUUGUCAAGAAGCAUGCUAUGAGACAUGGUCAAUCAAGAUGGGAUUUGCCCCUCUCUGAUUGAGAGUGAUAUCUCUGGGCCCCUCGAGUGAUCGGAUCCGAAAAUGCAUGGCCAUGCUACGUACGGUUAAGAGUUAACCUACAAAGGGAUUCCGAAUCACAGGAUCGAGAAAGAGCGGUCGGCUUGAAGCUAGACCAAAUAUCGUGAGGCAAAGGGAAUAGCAUGUAUAUUAUGUUGUGAUGAUUCGUCUGAUAUGAUCUUCGUGUGUGUAUAGGAGUUGGCACGUCUUGCUAGAGGCCGCUACCGACUAUUGGGCCGAGUAGGAGUACUCGGGCCAUGUCUAUACGUAUCCGAACCCAUAGGGUCACACACUUAAGGGGCUGGAAGCCCAAUUCGGAUCUGAUCCGAGUUGGAUUAGGUUUAGAAGUUCUAAUGGGCCUCGGAUCCAAAGGCCCGUCAGGAACCUCUAUAAAUAGAGGGGUGGGGGCGCCCUAGGGUUCACACCUUUUUGGCGAAACACACCUGCCGCGCCUCCCACGCCCUCGCCUGUUCCAACUCGCGGAUCUAGCAGUCCGACUUGCGACGCUUCCUCCCUGCACGUGUGGAUACCUUGGAGGUGUUGCGCCUGCAGCACUUCGACGAGCCGCCGACGAGCCACGACGAGCCAACGACGAGCCGCGGUACCGGAGGCGAUCUUGCUGCACGUGGACGAGGUGCUGAGGAGCUGCUGGACGUGAUCGACUACGUACGACUACGUGAUCGUCUUCACUGCAUCGACGCAUAUCUACAUCUUCCACACCAGUAGUGCGUCGAGUGGUAAUCCCGUGAUCCUUAUACGGCAGUUCUUCCUGGUUAUACGCGGUAGAAUUUUUGAAUUGCGCUAGUGUAGCCUACCUCGUAUCCUAACAGCCAGUACAUUACUGUCUCAUGGAGGACGACAACAUGGACAUCGACGGGUUCGCUGCAUUCACCCCUCGUCUUAUGGCUGUCCAGUGGCCACCUACCUUCAAGCCAACCAUCAACGAGAAGUACGGCGGUUGCUUCAAUCCGAAGAUCUGGCUGAAGACAUCCUGCAGCACGGCCAAGGCUACGCACGACACCUACAACAAGAUGGCUUCCUACUUCCCAGUGGUGAUAGGAAGCGCAGCUCUCCUAUGGCUUGAAGGCCUCCCACGAGGCUGUAUCGACACAUGGGGCUAGCUUACCAGAUCUUUCACCUAGAACUAUCAGGCUACAUAUGCCCGACCUGGAAGCACGCAAGACCUUGACCAAGUCCGCUAGCAGAAGAACGAAACUCUCUGCGAGUAUAUCUACCGCUUCUUCAACAACUGCAACAGGCUAGCCGGCAUUGAAGACCACGACAUCAUCUGGUACUUCCGCACUGGCCUCAAGAAUAGAUCAAUGUUCCGCACCAUGUUCCAUGUUGAUCUAGUGAUGGUCGAACACAUGAUGCAGAUCGUCAACCUUCACGCCGACACAGAUGAGGCUGAGCACGUCCAAUUCCAGGACAGCAAGCACCACCACAAUGAAGACGACGAACCGCCGACUCAUCAAGACCUCCAGUGUGAACCCAGGCGGGAGCCUUCCCAACCUUGAAAGAGGGACCUUGAGGUCCUCACAGCUGAAGGUGACCCUACAAGACAAACAACCUUCCUCCAGGAGGAGUUCAAUGAUACUCUGAAUGCUCUGUGCCCCUUCCAUAAGGACGCACACCACAAUCUCCGAGAUUGCUCGGUCCUGAAGAAAGAACUCGACGGUCUAUUAGAAUACAAGCAGCCAUGCCGGGACAACUGCCAUGACAACCGCAAUGACAAUCGCCGCUGCGACAACGGCCGCCACGAUGACAGCGAUGACCAACGCAGAGAAGAGCGUUGUGACCAGCGCAACCCUGACGCCGACUAGGGCACCGUAAACAAUAACAACAAGUUCCAGUGCACUGAGCGGGAGGUCAACAUCAUCAUCGACAACCCCAAAGCCUUUUGCAGCAGGCGCAAGCACAAACUGCAGAGGAGGAAAGUGCACUUUGUCUCCGUCUCACCAAUCCAGUACUUGCUCUGGUCAGAGAUGCCCAAAACCUUCUCAAGGAAAGAUCACUGGGUGCACACCCCGGACCUCGGGUCCUACCCACUCGUGGUGUGCCCCACCAUAGACAAAGUCCUCCUCUCCAAGGUGUUGAUCGAUGGCAACAGCGGCCUCAACAUCAUCUUCACCGAGACCCUGAAGCGCAUGGACUUCAACUUCGAGCGGCUCCUUCCCUACGAAGACUCGUUCUAUGGUAUAGUACCUAGCAAAGGAUCCUAUCCUAUUGGAAGAGUCAUCCUGCUAGUCACGUUCGGCACCCCGACAACUACCGCACUAAGCACCUCAUGUUUAAGGUAGCCAACUUCAAGACAUCCUACCAUGCCAUCUUUGGUAGGCCAAUGCUAGCGAGGUUCAUGGCGAUUCCCAACCACACCUACCUCGUCCUCAAGAUGCUAGCUCCAAACGGCAUCCUCUUCAUCUUCGGCGGUUUCGAGACAUCCUACAAGUGCGACACGAAAGCCCUACAGCUCGCUGAGACCCUAGAGUACUCAGCCAAUGCCACCAUGAUGCUCACCGAGUCCAAGAAGGUGGACCAGAACCAGCAGACGAUCCUAGAGGCGGACUCGAUGCCCCUGGCGCUGUAGCCUGACCCGUCGGUCAAGAAGAUCAACUUUGGCCUGAAAGACCCCUCCAAGAUGGCCCUCAUUGGGGCUGGCAUCUCCCCUAAAUAGGAAGACGCGCUCACCAGUUUCCUCCGAGACAACUCAGACAUAUUCACAUGGAAACCAUCCGAUAUGCCCAGCAUCUCGUGGGAGCUGGCUGAGCACUCCUUGGAGCUGAGCAAGAUAGCAACGCCGGUAAAGCAGAAGCUUCGCCAUUUCGCUUAAGAUCGCAAGGAGGCCAUUAGGGUAGAAUUAAAUAAGCUCUUAGCUGCUGUUUUCAUUCGUGAAUGUAAGGACCCUGACUUGUUAGCAAAUCUAGUCCUUGUAAAAAAGAAAAACAGUGAAUGGAAAAUGUGUAUCGACUACACCGGUCUCAAUAGGCACUGCCCUAAGGAUCCCUUCCCACUUCCUUGCAUCAACCAAGUCGUGGACUCCAUGGCCGGCUGCACCCUACUAUGCUUCCAUGACUGCUACUCAGUCUAUAACCAAAUCGCCCUCAACCCUGCUGAGCAAGAUAGGAUUGUGUUCACAAUGCCCUAUAGCAUCUACUGCUACAACACCAUGACCUUUGGGUUAAAAAACAUCAGCGCCACCUACCAGAAAGCAAUCCAGGGUUGCCUCAAGAAACAACUUGGCAAAAAUGUAGAGGCCUACGUCAAUGAUGUGGUCGUCAAGACCAAAGAUGAAGAAAACUUCAUUGCCGACCUUGUCCAAACCUUUGACAGCCUCCAGGCCUAUCGGUGGAAGCUCAACCCAAGCAAAUGCAUUUUUGGUGUACCGUCUAGAAAGCUCCUGGGCUUCAUGGUCAGCCAACAUGGAAUCAAAGACAACCCUAUCAAAGUGCACACCAUCAGAAACAUGGCACAGCUGACCGGCAAGAAAGACAUCAUGAAGCUCACAUGCAUGAUGGCGGCCCUUAGCUAUUUCAUCAGCAAGCUCAGUGAAAAGGGACUCCCCUUCUUCAAGCUGCUCAAGAAGGCCGACAAGUUUGAGUGGGAUGAUGAGGCUGCAAGGCCCUCGAGGAACUCAAAACAUUCCUCACCACCCCUCCCAUCUUGAUGGCCCCGGCCGACAAGGAAAUGCUGCAACUGUACAUCUUCGUGACAACACAUGUUGUGAGCACAGUGCUAGUCGUAGAACAUGAAGAAGCUGGCCAUGCCCGCAUAGUGCAAUGGCCGGUAUAUUACAUCAUCAAGGUCCUAAGCGACUCUAUGGUCCAUUACGCGCAGGUCUUGAAAUUACUCUACGCAAUCUUGAUCACCUCCCGUAAAUUGUAUUACUACUUCCAAGCGCACAAGAUCCUAGUGGUUUCCUCCUACCCAAUCGGCAAAAUCCUACAUAACAUUGAUGUCCAUGGCUGAGUAGUCAAAUGGUCCAUGGAAAUCAGGGCAUUCGACAUCGACUUCUACCCACAUCAUGUGAUUAAAUCCCAGAUCCUGCCCGAUUUUGUCACUGAAUGGACUGAGAUUCAAGAGCCAGCCUCCCUGGAGAGGCUGGAGCAUAGGACGAUGUACUUUGAUGGCUCCCUUAACCUUGAAGGAGCCAGCGCUGGGGUCCUCUUCAUAUCCUCGAAAGGCGAACAACUCAAGUACGUCCUCCAGAUCCACUACAAGGCUACCAACAACGGCGCACGAAACCCUCAUACACGGGCUCCGCAUCGCUGCCUCUCUUGGCAUCAAGUGCAUCCUUACGUAUGGCGACUCCAAGGUUGUCAUCGAACCAGUCAACAAGUCCUUGGAAUGCACCAAGGAAACCAUGGACGCCUACUGCGCUGAGGUCCACAAACUCGAGGCUCACUUUGACGGCCUUGAAUUCCAUCAUGUCCCCAGGGAACACAACAUUGCCGCCAACGUCCUAUCCAAGCUCGGCUCGAAGGCGCCCAAGUUUCGGUCGGUGUGUUGGUCCAGGACCUCAGAAAACCCUCCAUUCAGAUCCUAGACCUAGACCAAGCUGACGGCAACACACAACCCCAAGCUGACCCAGCAUCCGCCGAUGUCCUAAUGAUCGAGGUGGAGGAAGACUGAUCAACACCCUUCAUUGCAUUCAUCACUGACAACAUGUCCCUUGAGGACAAAGCCGAUCAUGAAAAAGUCGCACGAUGCAGCACCAACUACGUUGUGAUUGGCAAGAAAUUGUAUAGGAAGGCCGCAUCUACCGACAUCCUAAUGAAGUGCAUCCUCCGCAAUGAAGGCCUCGAACUCCUCCAUGAAAUCCACUCGAGUUUGUGCGGGAACCACGCCGCCUUGGGUAGUCUGGUCGGGAAAGCGUUCAGCUCUGGCUUUUAUUGGCCAACCGCUAUCGCCGAUGCAAAAGAGCUCAUCCAGAGGUGCAAAGGAUGCCAGUUCUUCUCCAAACAGCAGCACCUCCUAGCCCAAGCUCUACGCACCAUCCCACCAUCCUAGCCCUUCGCAGGCUGGGGGCUGGAUAUGGUCGGCCCCUUCAAGACCGCUCUAGGUGGAUACAUCCACAUCUUUGUGGCAGUUGACAAAUUCACCAAGUGGAUCAAGGUCAAAGCUGUCAUCGUCACAGAGUGGGCUAAAGCCACUCAGUUUAUCGAAGAACUCACCCAUCGCUUCGGGGUCCCCAAUAGGAUCAUCACCGACCUGGCAAUUUGUUUUUUGAGAGAAUGAAGAAACCCUAAGGAUAAUUAUCUCCAUGAAAAAGUCUUGAUCAAUUUGAUUUUUGAGAGAAUGAAGAUUGUCAUAACCUGACAUAUCGUCUGAAAUUUGUAAACCAGCAAGACUCCAACACAUUUUUGCAAAAGGGCACUAUAAGAAUAGAUGCAGGACAGAUUCAUGGGCAUUGUUAGAGCAGACAACACAGCUGUAGCUUGGCAGAUCCAUAUUUUUUUCUUUGAAGAAUAUCCCUUGUGUUGAGCCUAUCCUUAAGCAGAAGUCACAGGAAAACUUUAUGCUUUGUUUGGCAGCAACUGUUCCACAGCCAUUUGUAUGCUGGAUAUAUGUCAGAGUGACCCUUCAUUCUUCGAUAAGCUUUUCUUGAACUAAAGAAGCCAGAUCCCCAGAUAUAUGACCAUGAGUCAUGUGUUGCUAACUGCUGAAAGGAAAUGAUGUUAUCUUGAAGCUGCAAGAAUUGAUCAUAUACCUCUGCUGACAGUGGCAAAUGGAACACAGAGUGCAAUUCUGUCAUGUCAUUAGCUCUCUUCAAGCUGGUAUUUUUUUUAGCAAAAGAAAAUAGCUGUGUAUAACUGAGUUGUGGCACGGAAUUACACCAAGGAUCUUUCCACAAGUAAAUUGUUUUGCCAUCGUCAGGUGUGGGAAUAGCCAUACCUUUGUAUAAAUCCAAAAGCUUUAGGAUGUCUCUCCACAAAAAGAGCCUUUUUUUAACUGCCCGGGCAGUUUGUAGUUCCUGUAAUAGUUAUCCCUUAUGAGAUGGACCCAUGGCAGGUUCUCAUAAUUGAAGAAUUUGUGCUGAUUUUUUAGAAUUAAAGCAUCGUUGUGAGUUCUUAGGUCAAGAACACCCAGUCCACCUUCCUCUUUUAGCAGACAAACCAUUUUCCAAUCAGUCUUUGGAAGGUCUUGGCACUCAAAUCAGAUCCUCGCCAUAAUAUAUAGAUAUGUAUCCUAUAUUUAUCAAUCUGUUUGAUGACAGUACCAUGUAGUUGUAGUUUCAGUUGUUAACUUUUGACCAGCUAAUAGUAUCUGAUGAUUGAUUUCAACAGCGGUGGGAUUAUGAUCCAACCUUCUAGGGCACUCCAUCACCCCCUAUAAAUACACGCACACUUUGCAUCUCUGCAAAUCCACGCACACAACUAUAUAACUAUCGGAAAUGCUAGGAACCUAACGUCCGGAGAGGACUUGAAAAAUCGGACGUUCUUGGUCCCACCUUCCACCAUUCAGGACACAUGGUUUCAUUCUCAUCCACUCAUUUUCUACUGCCCUCUUUCAUUCUCAUCCACUUAUUUUCUACUGCCCCUAGGUCCCACCUUCCACCGAUUGAGCUUAGAAAAAAUCAGACAUCCUUCUUCCUUGAUCAGUCGCAGCGGCGUGGUUGUAGACGAUUGCAACCGCCUCCGUCGUGUUGAAUGUGCCGAGCCAGCGCUGCUCCUUAGUGUUAGGUCCCGGAUCUCCGCUGCCUACCGGCCCUACGGUGCCGCUCUUCCUCCAUGAACAGAGCCUUGACGAGCACCAAAUGCAGCACCACGGGGAGGUUGCGCGGCGGCCGUGGCGAGCGUUCGCAUCAGAUGUGUUUUGACAGGUACAAGCCCGUGGAGUCCUGCGGCAGCCUCCUCGUCCUCCACCGUAGUGCCCCCUGUUCACGGAGCGUGCCGGCCUCUGCAUCUACGAUCCCAUGACGCCGCGUCUUCCUUCCACCCUUGGAGGCUUCUCGGCGACGAAGGCGGCACCGGUGGCUGCGUCGGACGGUUGUCCCGCUGGCUGGUCGUCGUGGAUCUGAGCGGGCUCCGUCUCCUCCGCGUGAUGCUCGACGUAGUAGCGAACCGGAGCAGUAGAAGUUUGCGCCUACUGACGGCUCCAUGUUGCGAUAGGUACCUCCUGAUGUUGCAGUAGAGAUUUUUGGAUGUUGCAACAGUUGGCUUUUGAUGUUUCAUCUGUUUGCAACAGUCCGAUUUGCUAGCAAUUAGGUGUUGCACCAACUUGUUCACGAUGUUGCAUAUGGUUAUUUUCUUUGUUUCGGCCUCUUCUUCUUUUGUUGUUGCAAUGCUGUAAGAGAUGUUUUUUGUUGUUGCAAUACUGUAAGAGGUACUUUUUUUGUUGUUGCAAUACUUGAUUUGGCCGAGAUCGCAAGAUUGUUUCUAUUCGAGAUGUUGCAACUUGUGAUUUUUAUUGUUGCAAUGUGUCUGUUUUGAAUGUUGCACAAAGCGAUUCGAGAUGUUUCAUGCACGUAAAGAUGUUGAUAAUUUAUCUUCUGAUGAAUAUUGUGUGAAACAUGAUGAAAUGUUGCGCCAGGGAUUUUUUAUCCUAUAAUGAGAUGGAUGGCGUGCAUGAGUUCCAAAACUAUUUUUAGUGCAUGUUUUCAUGUUGCAAGUGUUGAGUUUUGAUAUUUCGAUAGUUAUUUUUCAAUGUUGGGACGGAGUGUCCGAUAAAAAAAAUUAUCGGACAUCCAGGCGCUAGCACGUCCGUAUAACUAUUAGUACCUUCAGAAAUCAACCUGGAGGAUCUGGACUCGAAUAUGGAUGGAUAGGUUUCACCACGAUAAACAUAACAAAUUGAGCUAAGCUAGGUUUGUUGUACGGACACACAUUUGCAUAUUUAUACCUCAAUAAUAUGGGCGGAUCUUAAGCCUCGCCGUGCCAUUGGACUUGUCAUGUCGCCGCUGCUAUGCCAGCUGGGGUGGCUAACGCUACCAUCCGGUGACCUCCAGACUUACCAUGGCGUUGCCGCUGGCCGGCGCGGUAGCUUGGCAGCUACAAUCCGCGGCAGAAGAAGGUAUUAACGAAAGCCAGCUUAUUCCAUAUGCAUGCAUGGCUGCGUGUGUUGAUUCGUUGCACGAUUAUUUCCCGUUUAAUUUGCAUAUAUGGUUGCCCUUGAAGUCAUUGUUCCGCAGCCAUGGCGAGCCAUCCAGUCGACGUCGAUAAGAUCCGGCAUGGGCAGCGCGCGGCCGUGCUCGCCAUCGGCACGGCGAACCCGAUGAACUGCGUGCGCCAGGACGAGUACGCCGACUGGUAUUUCAGAGCCACCGGGAGCGACCACCUCCCUCACCUCAAGGCCAAGAUGAAGAGAAUGUGUACGUGUGUUCUUCGCGUCCACUUCUUUCUUUGAUUCGCGAUCGAACUGAAUAGUGGCUGCGUUCACAAACAUGAUCAAGGCACGCUCGCAUUUGAUUUCGUCAGGUGACAGGUCGGGCAUCAGGAAGCGCUACUUCCACCACAGCGAGAGGAUGAUCCGCGAGCACCCCGCCUUGCUCGGCCGUGACGAGCUGCCGUCGCUCAACGCGAGGCAGGACAUUCUGGCGGCCGCCGUGCCCGAGCUCGCCGCGGCUGCCGCCGAGGACGCCAUAGCGGAGUGGGGUCGCCCGGCUAGCGACGUCACCCACCUCGUCGUCUGCACCUACUCGGGCGCCCACAUGCCGGGUGCCGACCUCCGCCUCGCCUCCCUCCUUGGCCUCCGGCCCACGGUCUGCCGCACCGUGCUCUACCUCCAGGGCUGCACCGCCGGCAGCGCGGCGCUCCGCGUCGCCAAGGACGUCGCCGAGAACAACCGUGGCGCGCGCGUCCUCGUCGCCUUCGCCGAGCUCACGCUCGUCAUGCUCCGCGCGCCCGACGAGGCCCGCCCCGGCACGCUCGUCAUGCAGUCCAUGUUCGGCGACGGCGCCAGCGCCGCCGUCGUGGGCGCCGAGGCCGAGGAGCCCGUCGAGCGCCCGCUCUUCGAGAUGGUCUCCGCCUACCAGGACGUGAUACCGGAGACAACCGACAGCCGCGCGGCGGGGCAGCUGAACGAGGACGGCUUGGUGUUCCAACCGUCCAGCGGCAUGCCGGCGCUGGUGCGCCAGAAUAUCGAGCGGUGCGUCGCCGACGCGCUGGCGCCGCUCGGCCUCCGCGGCGGCGGCGGUGGGUGGAACGAGCUCUUCUGGGCGGUACAGCCCAGCGGGCGCGCGAUCUUGGACGGCGUCGAGGCGGGGCUGGCUCUGGAGCCGGAGAAGCUGGCGGCGAGCCGCCGCGUGCUGAGGGAGUACGGGUACAUGUCCGGCGCAUCGAUGCUAUUCGUGCUGGACGAGCUCAGGCGGCGCCAUGUUGGCGGUGGAUGGGACAACAUGCCGGCGGGAGGGAUGGGGGUGAUGGUGGGGAUCGGGCCGGGGAUCUCCGUGGAGACCAUGGUGCUGCGCGCGGCGAACAGCAGCCAGAGUAGGAACGGGGUUCUGCGUUCACCAUGGCAGUAGAUUUGAUUCGUGGGUCAUGGCUUCAUACUUUGUCACAUCUUACCCCUUUCCUCACCAUUUCCUCCUCUUUCUCUCCAGCUGCCCGAAAUUUGUGAAAAGGAAUUCCGUAUAAGGGAAUAAAGGGGAAAGGGGAACUCUUACAUCUUAAUAUGUACUCUAGAAUACUCGUGCGUUGUUACGGGUCCUACUGGUUCUCAAGUCAUUCAACUGGUGAAUAAAAUCAUACACAACGGACCGUCCUUCAUGAAAUUGAGUGUGCACCUUCUUGGAAACUUCAUGGUUGCUGGCUUACACUUGCUCUCCAACAUGUAGCCCCCAUCCAUUAUUCAUGUCAGUACGUCGCUGGGGAGCUAAGCGUCUGAGCCUAAGUAGCUCGCAACUCAACAACAAUUGUAACAAAACCCAAAGGACUCGCUUGCUCUCUGCUGUGCUAUUCUCCCAGGUCAGUAAAGUAAUCUAACUCAAAACUCAUCCCAGCCCACGCAGCACUUGCCACUAGGCUGCCUCGUCUUAACAUUGCCGCUCUCGCGAGGCCCAAACAUCUCCAUCACUCACUACCGCUUCCAGCAUCCAGUCAAAUCGACAUAGCAAUGUGCGUUGUACUCCUCGGUCACCUCACUCUCCCACUCCAAGAUAGGGUAUUGUCCCAAUGGUGAGAGCGGCAUCACGCUACCAUACAUGGGCGCCCCUCCCCCCAAUGGCAUGCUCGUACUACCACUACUACAUCUUCUCCAUCAAGCAACUCAACAUGCUGGGUGAGGCAGCCGUGUUAGUCAUCUCUAUCAUGGUCCCACUCUUGGAGAUUGCCAUCGCGGUUACUCCUCCCCUACCUCCUUGUCUCACCAGGUCGUCUUCCCGCAGUGUCCGGGAAAGCCAACCUGGUCGUGCCCAUCUUCCUGGGCCUCGAUGGGUGGCUUUGCCUUGCGGUGCACACCGUGGUAGGCUUUGUCGUUGUCCCGGCGCUAGGGAUACGGUUUGCGUUGCCACAACGGCCCCACACACAUUCCUCCUCUUCAAAUAGGUGUUCACCAAGGGCAUCACAACGGCAUGGUCGAGCACGUUAUUGCUUCCUAUUAAGGCUGUGUUGCAGCAUUCGAGUGGCUGCUAGAGGAGUUGCAGGAGUGUGACGAGCUCGAGCGGCCCACCCAUGGCGCUAAGGUGGGUGGUGGUCGUGGUUGGGAGCAACAGUUCAGUGGUGAUGAUCAUUGGUAGCAAGCUCUAAAAGAUCAGGUGCAUCUAAAUACUGGCUGGAUGGGGAGGGAGGGAGGGACAGGCAUUGUGUCGCCGGUGCCGCAUGUCGGGUUAGGAGCCACGGUUGGAGGCAGACUGGGAGAGGGAGUGAGGGGCGGAUGAUGGGUCGUGUCUGCCACUGAGUACGGAUGGGUGUGAUAGAGGCGUGGAUAGGGAGUGCCGCGGAUUUUAGGAUUGAGUAUUAAUAAUGAAAAAAGUGAGGGAUCUUUUUGGAAAAUAUCCAUGAUGGUUGGAAGAAACAAUUGGCCCUUUAAUAGGUAGAUAUGUGGUGGUGAGAAAAUGUACUCCACUAAUUCUUCAGUCAAGGAUAGAUCCCAGAUACUCGCAAGAAAGGAACAAGAUGAACUCCUACUAUGAUUCCCCUCUAAUCCUACUAGAACUCAUACCUUGUAAUUCUACUAUGACUCCUACAUUGUAACCGACUGGUAAUCCUGCCCCCCCCCCCACCCCCGGGAUAUAUAAAGGUGGGCAGGGUCCCUAGAUCGGCAUAGCAAAACUAAUUAGACCAAUACCUCAACACCCAAGCGUAGGGCACAAUAUACAAUCCCCAAAUAGGAUUUAGGGUAUUGUGCUACUUUGGUAGUCCGAACAUGUAUAAAUAUGUGUCUUGUGUACUCGCGUUUGCCAUCAGGCUCCAGGUCCGGCGAACCCCCACCAACCAGUCUACUACGUUGGGAUACCACUCGGUAGGUUGCCAGGUAUAAAACACCGACACCUUCCCCAUCAAUUGUUUCCUUUGAACCGCAAAACCCACUACUCCUACAGCUACAUCACCACAGCUGAAACGCAUACCUAAGCUCUAUAAAAUGUUGACCAGCCUACCUGAAAUGUUAAAUUAGGGUUAAGUGACUAUUAAAUCAGUUGUAGUAAUAUGUUGAAACCUGCGUCAGGCGGGGGCAACUGGGGGGGGGCAAGAUAUACCAUACCUGAUUGCCAUGAAAUGUUUGAGUUUCUAUCAUAAAUGUUGUCAGAAAGUUUGCAGAUUGCUCAAUAAAGUAUAAGAGAACUUGUUGAAGAUGAGAGAUUGAUGGAUUGCAAUGAUUAACCUAAGAUAGAUCUAAUGGGUUUUAAAGUUACAAUGCUUAACUAGUUGCGGAAGAAACAUAUAUAGGAGCCCGCACUUAGGUUGAUGCCCAAGGCUAACCCUUAGUGUUACAUUAAUUGGGCCUAAAUCCCAAGGCCUAUACCAAAUGGUGAUCAUUACAUUUGUAAUAAAACUACCUUGUAAUUUGAGAGGAUCCCUGACCAACUUAUAUGGUGGAGUCCUACAUCUAUUGAGAAGUUGAGGGUGUGUGUGGGGGGGGGGGGUGGGGGGUUGUAGAAGGGUGCCGCAUGUGCUCCUUCACUUGCAUCGACAAGCUGUGUUGAAACACAGCUGGUCGGACAAGAUGUGUGGGCUAGGCUUGGUUAGGUUUUAAAGUUUUUAAUCACAACUUGAUGAUUAGUAACUGGCACCACGAUUAGUGACUGAUAAAUAAUGUUGAUUAAAUGACUGUCAACAAAUCCCUAGUAUUGGAUGGCCGUUAAUGGCUGAGAGUUACUAGUAACUCAACAUUUCAUGGUUGUUAAGUUAUUGCAAUGAACUUGGACACUCAAAGGUCUCUGAUGCCUAUAAGAGAGGCACUCUUCUGUCUUCCAUGCACGUACAACACACCCUCUCCACUGCUGUGCUGCUUUUUGCUGUCCCCUUCUCAUCGCUCCGUGUGCAUAGAACACAUCAGAAGAGAAGGCUUUCGAAGCUGCACCCUUUCCCGAAACUCUACACUUGAGGAGAAGAAAGGACAAUCAAUUUUUGGGAGUGCGUCGUGCGACUACUCGCUGUGCACCGAUAUUUUCUGGAGGCACAACUGCACAUCAAUCAUUUGCAUGACAUCACCUCUAGCUCGAUAUGUUGAGUAACAGCGCACUUGAUGCUCCAGGCAAUGGCCUCGCUUUAGGGUACUUUCUCAUUAACUUCCUAGUUCAUUGUAUGUUUUAUGCAAUAUCCACAUCAUAAUUUAUGUUGUCCGUUGAUAUAAACAUAAUGGAUCGUGCUCCUAUUCUUGCUGUCAUGUUUGUCAUGUCUUAUUUAAUAUUCAAAUAAAAUAGAUCCUAUAAUAUAUAUAUAUAUAUAUAUAUAUAUAUAUAUAUAUUUGAGAUAUGUGUUAGAGAUUUGGAUGGUUUAGAUACAUGCCGAUGUGAGCGGAGGAGUGCGCUUAGCAUAAGCAAGGCAGAAGAUGACGCAGGAGAGUCACGCAUGACCUCUAGAGCCAGCUCAGCUCGGCUCAUUAAUAAACAGACGUAAAAAGGCUAGCUCGGCUCAGCUCGUUAAUAGUUUAAGCUAGCUCGUUAGGAUAUAAAUUUAGAAUUAUUAUCUUAGUACAUAUGAAACAUAAAAAAACUAUUUGAUGUCUAAUUAUAAUUUUAAAACUGACCAUGCAUGGAGCAGCUCGGCUCAGCUUUAACAGUUUGACUCCCUAUAUUGUGAGUUUAACCUUCUAGCUCGGUUGGCUCGUGAGCUAGCUUGAGCAAGCUCGUUAACCCAAUGAGCAAAAAUAGCUGCUCAGCUUGUUAAAAAAAUCCGCCGACCCGACCCGAGCUGAGCCGAGCUACAAACGAGCCAAAGCCAGCUCGCGAAUUCCUAGCUCGGCAUCCAACCCAACCGUUCAAGGACGCUGGCAGGCGCAGUUAUUGUUGGGACUUUAAGAUUCAAAAUCACUUAUCUCAUAAACUAUUUAUCCAUUUUAAAUUGCAUUUGAAUUGUGAUGCUGUUUGAAUUAAUAGACCAACAUGAGAUUAAAAUGAAUUUUUUAACAUUUCAACACCAUUUUAACAUUUUAAAAGGACUGUUUCAACAUUUGGAAUAUAUCAUUUCAACAUUUACAUAAAAAUGUUGAACUAGAUUUAGAGAAGUGUUGAAUCUAAUACUUUGAAAUAUUGACUAGUAAGCAUAUACCAAUCAACAAUUUGACAUCAUUUCUUCAUUUUCACACAAAUGUUGGACUAGUUAUUUUUUUUUCAAAUUGUUGAAUGAGGUUUUAAGAAUUGUUAAAUCUAGUCAUUCAAAAUGUUGAAAGUAUAAAAGUAUACAUAUUCUUUUUUCUGUGCGGCUGUACUAAACUCCUUUCUAUCUUUUAUUAUGGCCCAACAGUAAGUAUGCAUGCGCCAUCAAGCUUGAUUUUUGCUGCGCAGGAGAAGCUAUAUAUAUAUCUUCUUAUCUUUCAGAAGUUGGAUAGAAGGCCUCAUUCUAACAUGCAUGGCGGAUCGAUUAGCCUGGUUUAUCCUCAAAACAAUACUGGUUUUAUUUUUAUUUAAAUUUCGUUAAAAGAAUAUGUAUUUUGAAUUCACAAAUCAAAAAUCAAAUCUAAGCUAGUUGUUUCAACUUUCAAGCAACCAAGAUAAUUUAAUAAGUCCAGCCCAUCAAACUUGCACCUAGCACUGUCUUCUAAACACCACCUAGGACCAAAUACUUGAUCGAGCUCUUCUUUGUCCAAAUUAAACAUAACCAUAGAUUUAGUGACAGAAAUUUAGCCCAUCUUAUGCCUAGAGGGGCUCGUCCGGAAAUCCUAUCCAUCUUCCGGAAGAUACAUAACUAAGCAUCUAUAACCCAACAAUAGCUCUAUAACUGACCCACAACGGCCCAACAAACUAUCCCAACAUUUUAGAUGAACUAUCUCAAUAUUUUUUAGUAACAAAGUUGGUGAAUGUAAAAAAAUAAUUGAGAAAAAAUGUUGACGAGUGAAAAUUUUGGUGGAUGUAAAAAAUUAUUGAGCAAUAAUGUUGGUGAAUGUAAAAAAGUUAGAGAAAAUGUUGGUAUAUAAAAAAAUAUUGAUAACGAUUAAGUCAGACUUUUUUAAAAAUAUUGAUGAAUGUCAACAAAUGUUUAUGGAUGUUAAAAAAAUAUUAUACAUGGGCUUAUAUGGGCUUUAAAGAUGAGUUGAUUAUCUACGGAAGACAUAUAGGAGCUCCCGGGCUCGCUAGCCUACUCUUGUGGCCCAUCUUGUGACAACCUCCUCUUGUGCCCAACCAUGAGCAAUCUGUAGAAAAAUGUGCUGGGGUCCUCCUCCACCAUGUGCCUCCAACAUUUAUCUUGCGAAUUAUUGUGAAUGCUGAUGUAAUUGGAAAACUACACUUCUAUAGUUUACACUCGCAAGAUAUAGUUGAUGUAAUUACAUCAGCAUUGUACUCGCACAUCCACAUCACUUUUGCAAGCAUUGUACUUUUGAAAGUUCUCUUAUAGAAGUUCUCCAUGUUGGAGUAUAAGUGAAUUGUCCACCUCUUCUCAUCAGUUUAAGCUUUUGAGUUGAACUGGUUGGUGCAUGCAACUUAAUAUGAUAUCAGAGCCAGAGGUCUCGAGUUCGAAUCCUGGCGGACGCGAUUAAAUAAAAUAAUUGUAGCCCACUCCAAUCUCCACGUAUGCAGCCUGAGGGAGCCUGCACGUGAGGGGGAGUGUUGGAGUAUAAGUGAAUUGCCCACCUCUCCUCAUCAGUUUAAACUUUUAGGUUGAACUGGUUGGCGCAUGCAACUCAAUACUCCACAAUGCUAAUGUAAUUGGAAAACUACACUUCUAUAGUUUACACUCGGCAUGCAUUCAAACAUCUAGGGUAGCAUAAAGUAGCUAGUCGUGAUGAAAAAGAGAAGGUUCAUGAAAGAAAAGUCAACGUUACAUACAAAUUGUGCAUAUUAAUAACUAGUUAUGCAUAUUAGAGAAAACUCAAAUGAAUUAGAAACAACAAUAACUAGUUAUGCAUAUUAGAGAAAACUCAAAUGAAUUAGAAACAAACAAUUUAACCAUGCUCUCCUUGGUAUCCAAGCAAGAUAUGAUCGCCUUUUUAUGAAUAUUAAUAAUGGUACUAUUUUUUUAGUGGUAGGUGGGGUGAGUCUGUGUGCCCAUAAGUGGGCGUAUUUACUGUGUUUCGAAAAAAAGCAACUGCCUAUUAUUCCUUAGCUUGUUCUUCACAAAAUCCAUGCCUAAAAAUACCUAGUCAUCACUGACAGUCAGUUCACGCAGAAUGGUUGAUGGUAAGAAUUCAAAAUUUUGACAAAAGACGUACUACCAUAUGUUAGUGGAAUUUGGCGCGUGAAUUUGAAACAUGUGGGACGAAGGGCUACAAUUGUGUGUGGCUCAGGGCCUCCAUCUGUAAAUAUGAGAACACUAGUCAUUACAUUACGAGAUGGCAUUAUAUGGCACUUGUGUGUACAUAAUGGCUCGACUGUUGCAAGGUACAAGCAAUAAUCUGAUGUAGUGAAGUGAAAAUGCAACAAAUCUGAGUCUAAUUGGACGUCUCCGUGCCCUUGUGUCUUUUCUUGCGACAUACCCAGCUCCCAACCAUUCAUGUUAUCUUGUCUGCAGCGGCCUAUGCCCUUGAUCUAUUACUGCAAAUUGCAGUUUUACCUACAGUUUGUUUGUUGUGAUAUUCAUGCUGAUUAUUGCAGAGAUGUUUUAAGUUUGUUUCAACUUCUUAGUUCUUUAGCUUAUUUUUCUUAUCAUAGUUUGUAGUAAAAAGGUUUUUUACCUUAACAUUUGUCAGUCCGAUUUUGUGUUCCAUCUUUUUUUGCCAGAUGUUUCAAAUCGUCUAUUUGUUACUGUUUAUUUAAUGCAUCACAAGCGAUUAUAAUUAGGUCAGUGAUCCACUGAAAUGGAAGCCAGUAGUGGAUAAUAGUUUCACAUUGGUUGUUUGUGUGGGGUGGUGUAAGAUUGGAGGUCUUUGAAAGCAAACUAUCAUAGAAUGCUCUAGCUACAAUGGAGGCAGCAUUGCUAGAUUUGGUAGCAGUGGCAUCGGAAAAAUUGGCUCAAAUGGCCAAAAGUUUUUUACCCAGGCACAUAGGUGGCAUUUUAGUCUAUGAAUUGACAGUCAUUAGCGCUCUAGUUCUUCGUUUUUUUUCUCAUUUUCUUUUUCUGGCUGUUCAUCUCCUGGUAACGCAGAGGCAGAAUGUAGUUCAAGGAGUUUAUACCAACUCAAUAUUUCUUAUUCGGUGGUACAAUACACAAAGAUUGCUAGCAACCGGAUGCCCUUUGCCAAGCUGGAGCAUGAAUUCCCAGUCAGGACAUGGAACCAAUCCAGGAAGCAUUGCGGCAUGUCCAAUUUGAUGGAUUGAGACAAGGACAUUGGAUCCACUCACUGAUGGCAUACCAAACGGAUCUAGUUUCGGCGCAUUUGCAGAAGAUAUGAUUGGUUAUCUCUAGAUUUCAGCAACGUCCUAUCUGCCGUACCCAGACCUAAUUUUAUAGGGGCCAGAGAAAGAAUUUGCAUUUGGAUGGUGCACAAACUUUGCACGCAUCUCUGAUAAAAAAGGAGACCAAGUGAUCAACGACCCACCUUCAAAUUGCAAGUAUUAUGCUGUUUUUGCCGUGUAUUCUCCUUUGCACUCCCUCGAUUUGAAAUUACAAGCCAGGUUUUGCCACGCAAAUCGACUAAGAAAUCACUCAAACUGGUAAUAUUGUCAUUCAUUACUAUUUUCUAUUUAUUACAAAGACUGAAUUUUUAAUGCGUAUAUUUAAAAAGCAUACAAAUUUAAUCAGUAAACAUGGUUAUAUAGUACGAAUUAAACAUGCAUAUAUGCCUUAUAUUGACGAAUAUAUAAGGUAGGUCUUAUAUUUGCAAAUAGGUAGUAGUUCACAGUUAGGAGUACCGGAGUAAAAACCUAUACAGAUAGAUGAUUGCUUAUGUGUAAAACACCGGUGGACAAAUAUUAGGUGUUCAAAAUGUACUGUCACACCGGUGGACAAAACCUAUAUAUUCAUGUUGAUUGUUUCAGAUGCUUUAAAUUUUCUUAUAAACUAACGGAUACCUUCUGCUUUGAAUUUCUUAGUUCUUUCAUGCAAAAAGUUUUCUUACCACACUAUUAUUGGUCAGGUUUUUGUCUGGGAUCCGACACCAGGUUGUGGACCGCAGAAUAGUGGCACAAGAAUCUUCAUUAUGGCCUUCCACUGUAGAAGUUAUGGUUUGAGGUCAAGCAACAGUAUUCUGAUAAAUACUAGCAGACAGAUAGGAGUAGAAAACUACAAUUAUGGCUUGGGAUCAGGCAACAGUAUUGUCAGAGAGAUUCCUGUAACUAUGUUCAUUCUGAAAUGAAUUUUGCAGAUCUUUCACCAACGGUGAAGAAAGAAAGCAACGGCUUUCCAUGAAAAAUCCUAAGAAAAUUGGACUUCGCCGUCCAAAUGCUGAACUAGAAAAUUUGGAAAACUUAACUCCCAAUUACGGGAUUCACAAAUUGAAAAACACAACGAAGGAGAGCUUAUAUACAUUGCCAUAUUGCAAUCACGUACCCUUCGACUUCCCUCGUAUAUAUCUACCAAAUUGAAACUCUAGUUUUAUUUUACAAAAAAUCAAGUAAUUGGAUAGGUAUCUGGAAGCCUACAUUGCUUUAGGAGGAGGACGGGCAACGGUACACGAAUGUUACUUUUCCUCCUAUCACUAUAGAGGAUCGAUUAUUAGUACUGGUCGGGAAAGCCCUUUAGUACCGGUUUUUCGACCAGUACCGCUACAUCGGUACUAAAAAUAGCAUACUUUAAUUUACUCUAUUUUUCCACAAUUUAUUAGUCCUCUACCCUCGUAUUGAUCAAAUUCUUUAACUAAUACGAAAUAUGGUAUGCAAACUAUCCAAAAAAGUAUAGCUCAAAUUUAUCUCUUCCAUUGUACGCCAUACCCUCCUCCACACUCAAAUGGAUGUAUAAACAAAAAAUCUCUCCAUUCUCCUCAUUCUAAAAAUCAUAAAUUUAUCUAUCUCUAAAGCAUAAAACAUACCAUACUAAUUAUGAAAGAAGGGAGAAUGAAGUUGCUAACCUUUAGAACACUUGGAUGAGUGAAAGCCUCAUGAAAUCGUGAAAAAAAUCAUGUAGCACCUCUCUUAGGCUCGCGUCGUCGCCAUGAAGAAGAAAGUCGGGAGCUCUCCAGUCAAAUGAUGGGUGGAUCCAGCAGGAGAGGAAGAAGAAGCAUGUUUUAUAGCAGGUAAAUUAGUACCGUUUUGAGACUCCAACUGGUACUAAUGGGUGGGAGCCACCCAUUAAUUACUAAUAAGCCACCUGGAGGACUAGCCGUGUAUUAGUACCAAGCCUAUUCUCAGGAGGUACUAACAUGCUAGACUUAGACGAAUGCUCGAUUCUCUACUAGUGUAUGGACACCCAAAAAGUAGUGAAACUGAUUUUAAAAAAAGUAGCAACGGAUGAUCAUUUAGCCAAGGCUAGUUAUUCUUCCUUCCUUCAAAAUUACAAGGCAUAUUUUGCCAUUCACAUAGAUAAAUAAAUAAUUUUAGAAAAUAAUCCCUUCAUUCCGAUUUGUAAGAUGUUUUAGUUUUUUCCUAAGUCAAACUUUCACCAUAUUAUAGAAAAGUGCACCAACAUCUACAACAUCAAAUUAGUUUGAUUAAGUCCACCAUGCAAUAUGUUUUUUUAGGUAUGUUUUAUUGGUAUCAUAAGUGUUAAUAUACUUUUCUAUAGAUUUUGUGAGAGUUAGCUAAGUUUGAAUUAGGACAAAGCUAAACAUAUUACAUUUUGAAAUGGAAGGAGAACAAUAGCUCAUUGUUGUGUACAAAGAAAAUAGUACAUACAUGUAAUAAGCAUACAAUUUUAAUAAAAGUUCAAGUAGCUAUUACAUACAAAUAACAUACAUAUUUUGUAUUUGAAUAUAAUACGAAAUAAGCCUUAGGCCUGUUUGGAUCCAUCAAAGCAUUCAUACACUGAUGAAAAGGCCUAUAAAUAGAUGAUUCCUUAUGCAGUGUCUCAACCCACAACCCAGCACGAAGAAGAACGAACCACCACGGUGUACAAAAAAUGGCACACUACAGCGAGGACAGCACUCAGGACUUGCUCCAAGCUCAUCUUCAGCUACUGCACGAGUCCCUCGGCUACAUCAAGUCAACUGCUAUCGCAGUUGCCCUAGACGUCGGCAUUGCCGAUGCCAUUCACCACUACGGCGGCAGCGCCACCAUCCCCCAGAUCCUCGCCAAGAUUGACGUCAACCCAUCCAAGCAACGGGGCCUGCGUCGCCUCAUGCGCAUGCUCACAAUCUCUGGCAUCUUCACCAUCCAUCACCCUGCUCCAUCAUCAUCAUCAGAUGGGUGCGAAGCUCUCUACCAGCUGACACCGGCCUCCCGCCUCCUCCUCAGCGACGGGGGCUCGACGAGCUUGACACCUCUCCUGACCAUGCUCCUCGGUCCUCUGCUCGUGUCGCCGCUCGCCACUGUCGUGACCGCGUUGGUCCGGCAGGAGGAGCAGCCGGACCUGUCGGCGUUCGGCAUCGCGCACGGAGAAACCGUCUGGGACGUGGCUGACCAGGAGGCUGCCUUCAACAUCUCCCUCCACGACGCUAUCGCCGCGGACACCCGCUUCCUCAUGCCCAUUGUCCUCAAGGAGUGCGGCGAGGUCUUUCAGGGGAUAGACUCGCUUGUGGACGUCGGCGGUGGACCGUAUGGGAGUGCCGCAGCCGCCAUCGCCGCGGCGUUCCCGCACCUGAAGUGCAGCGUGCUGGAUCUUCCUCACGUUGUUGCACAGGCUCCAUCUGAUAGCAACGUGCAGUUCAUCGCGGGGGACAUGUUCGAGAGCGUACCACCGGCGAAUGCUGUUUUUCUCAAGGUAUUGAUCGUGCAUACUUCGUUAACUUGUAGUCAACAUAAUAUUUCUAUUGUCUAGAUUUUCAUUAUAAGGUCAAUUCUUUGAUAAUGUAUGCCUCGAGGGUGCUCAGAUAAUCGAGCAAUUCUAGAUAUCUAGUUGAAAAUAUUCUGUGUACCUCACACAGAUCCAUCAAUCAAUUCUUAAAAUAUCAACAAUUUCUAAAGGUAAUUCGUUUCUUUUAUAAGACAUGCAACGAUCUUUUAAGCGAGUAUUCACUUGUUGACGGUGCACCGACAGGUAUUGUAACAUUAUUUUAUAAAAAAUACAACAGUUUCCGAAGGUAAUUGUUUUCCCCAUUACGUUAACGUACACGCAGGUGCAUAUGAGUCCAUACAACUAUGAUUACUAUCUCUGCUUUAUUGAAGUAAUGACAUAAUGCAAGAAUAUCAGUUCAAACACAACGGAGAUUAAGAUGGACUACUAUGUAUAGUUUCAGAGGUUAAGUAGAGAUAGGAUUCUAAUAAUUACUUGACUAAAUCGAUGCUUACUUCUUUUAGUGGAUUUUGCACGAUUGGGGCGAUGACGAGUGCAUCAAGCUGCUGAAGAGAUGCAAGGAAGCCAUCCCUUCUCGAGAUGCUGGAGGAAAAGUAAUAAUAAUAGAUAUGGUACUCGGAUGGGGACCGUCUGAAGAGAAGCAUACAGAGACACAGCUUUUGUUUGAUCUCCUAAUGAUCGCCCUCAAUGGAGUUGAACGAGAUGAGCAAGAGUGGAAGAAGAUUUUCUUUGAAGCUGGAUUUAAGGACUACAAAAUUAUAACACUUCUUGGUAUCAGGUCCAUUAUCGAGCUUUAUCCAUGAAUGCUCAGCGAACAAGAUCAUCCAAAAAUAAUCACCGGAAGUCUUUAAUAUCUAAGCCUAAUGAAUAUGUCAUGCAUGUGACACAUGAAUCAUAAUGCAAGCAUGUCAUAAUUAUAGUAAAAUGCUCAAACUAUUAGUAUUGGUAUGAUUGAGCAGAAUAAGCGGAGGCUUUUGCAUUUGUCAAAACUUCCAUAAGUGUGGGCUUUAUUCAGUUGUACCUUCGAUGUACUAUUUCCCUUGCAAUAAAUAUUUGAACUCUUUUAUAGCCUUACACUACAACAAUUCAUAGUAUACGUGACAGUGGAAAACUGUUGGUAAAAGCAAGGAAACUGUAUGUGACUAUCACGUAUGUGGCUUAAACCAUGACAGUACUCUUAUUGUAGUUGGGACCUCCUGACGUGGUCAAAACCAAGGUAGCGGCCUUCAAAUAAAAAUAACAGCGCUGUCACAUGUGCAAUGGUUGUUUGACAGGGCUGUUAGGUUUGAAUAUCCUAUCAAUAACAAUGCUCUCAGUAAUUCUACCAAUGACAGCCUUGUUGCCCAUCUAAAUUUGUCCAUCAAUGCUGUUGACAAUCACUACAGCUGUUGGAGAAAAUUGCAAAUGUUGUAGUGUUAUAAUCACAUGAACCAUGUAUAUUAUUGUGCCAUUCUUUGUUUUAAUCCUUGGAAUUAUCCACAAGGCGCCACAAAUAAUGCUAAAGGAAAAAACAUAAACCAUUAGACACUUGCAUAAUUCAGGGCUAAACAGCUAGGCUGUGAAUCGGGAAGCUCCACUAUUGCGAAAACGGCCCAUAGGCCCAUACGUCAAGCCAGUUCUCAGACAAUCGACUGUUGUAUCAAAUCAGAACACUGUUAGUUGAUAUUCAAAAAACACCACUACAAUAUGAUGGCUAUAGAUCAAAUUAUGAAAUACACCAAUAGAGUCGGUACAAGUUGCACUGCUGCAUCUUCACUAUUAUUUCCAAUCCAGAAACUGUUUGUGUAAAUGACAUCAUCAUAGUCACUUCUACAAAUUUAUAUUUGCAUAUCAUUCAUUGUCAAUCAUGAGGAUACAUGGAUGCAAAAGACACAAACAACUAACAUAUUUAUUUAUUUAAUUUUAUCACAAGGAAGGGAAAGCAUGCACGACACACUCAAACACAUAAAAAUGUGCUUCAAAUAACUAUAUAGAAUUCAUAUAGCACUUUAUUAUACUUCAAACAAACAUUUUUACUAGCACCCAUACUUCAACGAUGAAUUUAUCAUAAUGUUGUGGAUUCUAUUUUUACUAGUUCUAAAAAGUUCACAAACAUUUUAUCAAUUUUACUAUAGAUAAUAUGGACAUGAUAUACACCUUCAUUAAGUCCUGUUACAAAACUCAACUUAAUUAAAAAAGAUAAACAAACAAUUUAAUGUACAUUCCUAAUUGCCAAUGGGUUUUUAUAAAAAAUCGUCUGAUGACAAUAUUACCAGUAGAUUUAGAAGAAAAAUUAUGAUGUAUAAGAGACAAUUUUCUAAAAAAAACUAUAUGCAAUGACUGGGUCUAUUUCAAAUGAUUUUUACAUAAAAACUGCAGAUAAUAAUGUAUGACACACAAUUUUUUUUAGAAAGACACUGUUUGAAAUAUCUUGUUGAUUUUUUUAGGAACAAAUAUCUUGUUAAUGUUGACCCUUCUUAAUGUAGUGGCUCAUUCGUGCUGUGUCUGUUAUAUACACGUGGGCUGACUCAUGAACAGUAGAACGGGCUGGCUGCUGGCGCUACGCACCCCGAGCGUUUGAGCAGUUCGGCCCACUAGCAUACGAACACUGUUGACCCAUAGGAAGGCCGUGGCGGCAGGCCGGCAACAGAGCAAAGCAGUUCGUUCUUUCUUUCUUUUUCCAGUUAUUUUCUGUACUCUGCUAAUAUUUCUUGAUCAUCAUUAAUUAUUUGGUAGCCACUUGCAAAAAGUAAUUGACUCCAUUUUAUCAACGGAAUGCUAUAUUCACUUCUCACAUAUGCUUUGUGAGUUUGUAUGAACAUAUUGUCUCGUAUAUUUAAAAUGUAUGCUUGCUCUAAGUCAAACAUCUACAGUCAGUCAUUGCAUAUAGUUCAUUGUUUCCAAUUUGUAUUGUUGGGACCCAUGUUUCCGAUUGGAUUGCUCCAUUUCUGGCAUCCCGACACUCCUGACCAGUUUUUCUAUUUUCAGUUUUGAUUUCGGGUAAAGAUAUGAAAUUAAAAGAGGUGUUAUACUUUCCAAGAGUUCCCAAUCAUUUUCAUCAUAUCCGUACUUGCAAUGUACUAUUUUAGGGGGAAAAAAAGCAACUGAUGGAUCCUGACAUCCAGUUAACGAUCAUACCAUACCACAUGAGAAAGGUGCUCCCACGGGUUGAGGUGCUACCGUGCUCCCAACCCAUGGAUGCACCUAUAAAUGUGCAUAAAAAAUCCAUCUAAAAAUUUUAGUGGAUACUUUUUGCCAUGUAAUACUAUCAUGCAAAAUUGAGGAUGAACAAAAUUUGUGCAAGAAAAAAAAAGAGAAAUCAGUGCAAAAUAAAGGAGAUUGUAGACUAUUUUCCAAUAGUUCCCAAUUAUUUUUCAUCCGUACUAGCAAUGUAUUAUUUCUUCUAGAAAAAAAGCAACGGAUUGAUCCAGUUAACGAGCAUACCAUACCACAUUUCUAACUCGUCUGGCGAAAAAAAAAGUGGACCAACAAUACACGAAUGCCUUGCUCGUGUUUUCAAGAAAAUGGCGCUAUUUCUUCUCCGUGCCACUCAUCGAGCGCAGCACCAUGGUCUCGACAGAGAUACCCGGCCCGAGACCCAGCAUCACCCCCAACCUCCCAUCCAUCUCCUCGCGAUGGCGUCGCCAGAGCUCGUCGAGCACAAAGAUCAUCGACGCGCCAGACAUGUUCCCGUACUCGCUCAGCACGCGCCGGCUCGCCGCAAGUUUCCCGGGCGCAAGCGCGAGCUCGGCCUCGACGCCGUCAAGGAUCGCUGUCCCGCCAGGAUGCACCGCCCAGAACAGGUCGUUCCAGCCGCCGCCAAGGCCGAGCGGCGAAACGGCGUCGAGGAGGCAUUCCUCGACGUGCUGGCGCACCAGAUUUGGCAUCCUCGGAGACGGGCAGAACGCGAGGCCGCCCUCGCCGAGGUGCCCGGCGGCGGCGUCCUCGCUGCCCGGUAUCACCGUCUGCGAGGCGGACAUUAUCUCGAACAUCGGGCACUCGACGCCGCCGGAUCCCUCGGGGCCGGCGCCGGCGCCGACGACGACGGCACUCGCGCCGUCGCCGAACAGCGCCUGCAUGACGAGUGUGCCGGGGUCGGCCACGCGCGGCGCGCGGAACAGGACAAGGCUCAGCUCGGCGCAGACAGCGAGGACGCGCGCGCCAGGGUUGUUCUCGGCGACGUCCCUGGCGACGCGGAGCGCCGCGGAGCCCGCGGCGCAGCCGCCAAGGUAGAACAUGGUGCGCUGCGUGGAGCGGCGGAGGCCGAGGAGCGACGCCAGCCGGAGGUCGGCGCCGGGCAUGUGCGCGCCCGAGUAGGUGGCGAGGACGAGGUGGGUGACGUCCCUCGCGGGGCGGCCCCAUGCCGCGAUCGCCUUCGCCGCCGCGGUGGCGGCGAUCUCCGGCACGGCCGGCGCCAGGAUGGCCUGCCGCGCGUCCAGCGACGGCAGCGCGCGGUCGACGAUCUCCGGAUGGUCGCGGAACGUGUCGGUCGUGUGGUGGAAGUACCUCUUCUUGAUUCCCGAGUUAUAACCUAAGAAUUGAAUUCUACAUGAUGUUGCGACCACUGAAACGCACCAUGAAACGGGAAAGAAUCGACUAUGUCUCACAAAUCCUUUUCAUCUUGGCCUUCAGCUUGGCGAGGUGGUCGCUCUUGGUGACGCGGAAGUACCAGUCGGCGUACUCGUUCUGCGGCACACAGUUGGCCGGGUUCGCGGUGCCAAUACCGAGCACCGCCACGCGCGGCGCCUGCCGGGCCUCGUCUACGGCGGUCGCAUAACAGCGAGUUCUUGGAGGCAACGGCAGAAGCAAUGGUACGGUUAAUAAUCCAAAAUGGCGGCGCAAGUCAGUUGUGACAAAACGGGCUCGCUUUCCUUCUGGCCACCCUGCCAGAAGGGUUGCAGUGGCCGCCGCCGGUGGAAACGCCGGCUGAUAAAGCGUGUCUGGCGGCCGCCGCCGGGUAGGCCUUAGGGCGGCGACGAUCAUGUCGGUGGAGGCCGACGUGCGGAGCCGAAUGGAGGGCUGCCCUGGCUUGAGACAUGGGGUCGCUACUACUCGCUACUCCUUGAGCGUUGGGGAGCCCGGUCUUUACACGAUGUACGAGACGUGCGCUGUGAAAGGAUGAUGCAGCUUGUGAAACAUGCAUAUUUCAGGCUUUCAGCCGGCCUUUAAGCUUGUGAACGCAGCUUAAUUAUGCGGUUGAUCAGAGACAGGUGCCUUUAAUACUUGCUUCCCAUCGAUAACAAACAGCAAACCCUUCUAAAUGUGGGCACGUACAAUUGAGUUAACGAUUUAGUUACUUGUCGUUUUUGUAACGGCAAGAAAAAAAAAACAUGUACCACAGAAAACCUUUGCCGGUUAAUAACAGCAAAAACAAGCUGGUUGUAGAUUUGUAACAAAAACAUUGGGUGAUAUUGAAUAGUUCAAACACAGAAAAUUUAUAAUUUACACACAGCUCGUAGCGCCAGCAUGUUUGUUUUUGUGAUUGCGGAAACCGGCUGCAUAUUAUAUGCUUUUAGGGCUAAUUUGGCAACGAGGGGAGCAAAACCCAGGGGGAUAUUAUCGGCACUUGAGAUCCCCGUCAUUUCCAUGGGAAGGAAUCCCCGCUUGGGAUUUAUACCCUGCAUAAGUUUGGCAGACAAGGGGCACAACCCUAGCUGCAAAAAAAAAAAUGCUCAAAACAAUCAGAAAAAAUCGAGAAAAAAAUAACAGAAAUUUUAUUCGCAUGCAAAACUUCAUCAGAUGCACACAGGAGCAAUCCAUCCUUACAUACAUUUUAAAAAUUCUAAAAACAUGGUCAUUUCUCAUCAUUACAUAAAUAUAAUUAAAAUUGUGUGAAUCCACAGUUGGAAGAGCUGCAAACGUUUGAAUGACCGAAUCACCCUGUGAAGACAGGCCAUCGUGAUAGAUUACUAGCUAGGCAAUAAUCAACUGUGACCAAUCUGCACUUGCACUACUCGAGUACUCCUGUCACAAAAUAGGUUCUAGCUUCUAUGCAUUGCUUCCGCCAAGUGAUCUGCAAGUAAAAAAAAAACUCAUAACCUGAAUGUUGAAUACUGAAUGUAUGUAGAAAAUGUAAUGCAGAAUACUGAGCUAGAAACAAAAAUUUAUAUAUGAUUCUGAAUGCUAAUAGAUGGAGAACCAUUCUUUGAGCUAACGGACCUUUGACACUAACAGAUGCUGAGCUAAAGAGCUGGCAAAACAUUGCUUCCGGAACAACUAUUGACAGUACUGGAAAAGCAAAUCACAAGCUUCUCAAUUUGACAAAUACUAUGAUUCUGCCAAUAUUAAUUAUUCAGAUUUAGUUAACUUUCUAUAUGAGGAAUCAAAACUCAGGAGUCAGCAGUGAUUCAUUUAGGACUAACUAAUAAACAAACCCCUGGUGAAGCAUUCUCUUCCAACAGUACAUCUUAGGGAAAUUUCUCAUUGAACUUGUUGGUGAAAUGAGCUACGGGAAACAUCUCAUCGAACUUGUUGGUGAUAAUCCUCGAGCCCUUCGAUACCCAACCAUUUUGACCAUUAUAUUUGGGGUUAUCUUUGUAGUCAUGUAAUAUUUCAAAAAGAUCUUUCUCAUAAGCAGAGUUCCAAGCAGCCCUUUUCUUGCCAUGGCUACAUUUCCUAAAACAUGUUAAAAUGAAAUUGAUAGAAACAUUUCCUAAAACAUGUUAAAAUGAAAUUGACAGAAACAUGAAUGCACAAUCAAGGUGUCUAAAAAAUUCAAGUACAAAGAUAUCAAUUGCAUUAAAUAAAAGCACUAAUUAUAAUAAUGUUUGCAGUAGAAAGUUCCAUAAAUUACAUAAGCAAAUCAUACACAAACUAGAUGAAUCAUACUCCUCUAAAAGAUAUUAUUCUAAACUAACUAUUAUUAUUAUAAGCAGCCCACAUUUGGUGUACGAUCUGAUCUCUAAGAGUAUUACCUCACUUGGAUAGUUGUUGUCCCUCUCUAGCAUGUCAACAUAUUUAUUUGUUGGGAUAUACUCUGGUUGGUCAUCUAGCCACCCCUCUUGACCAUUUUGCCCUCUAAUUAUAUUGUGAAAUGCUACUGUUAGAGUUGCAAUCUUGAUUUGAUUUUCUACGGGAUGGAAAGUGCCUACUUUAAGAAUCGGGAACCUCUUCUUUAGAACACCAAUGGCCCUCAAUAUAGAUGGUUAAAUAGUUCUUCGUAGUUUGCAUAACCACUUUGAGAUAAACGACGCCUUCUAUAGUCACUGAACUCCUCAAUAUGGGGCAAUAAAUGAUGAUAUAUUUGCGCACCCACCAUCUACAAGAUAGAAUUUCCCUUAUGGCACACUACAUCCUUUGCUAAUAGCAGAUCUAAGGACUCCUCCAUCUGAUGCUGACCCUUCCCAUCCACCUAAAAUGAAUGUGAAGUUAAGGUUGAAGUUGCAGGCUAACAUAACAAUCUAUGAUAGGGUUCCUUUCCUAUUUUUGUAGGGAGGGGCCUUGUCUUCUGCAAUGGUGAUUGGUAUAUGAGUGCCAUCGAUUGCACCAAUGCAAUUCUGCACAGAAGGAAAGAAAUUAAGGACUUGCAAGGAAACAAAACAAUGAGGAAAGGUAUAUGUCUAGUAGUGUUAUUGGCCCACCGGAAAAGAAGGGCAUAAAAUGAGGAUCUAUUGCAAUUUUGAUAUGAGUUUGGACUGGACUGGGAAGUCUCACGAAUUGAUGAGUUAAGGCAGGAAUUAUAUCGAAAACUUCUAUUAUUUUCCGAUGGAUCAUCUCCUCGUUGUGUUGAAAAGCUUUUUGUAGCUUUUGGUUGCUAGCAUUAUGUGAGAGCAUGAACAUGAACAUCCCAAGAUGCUCCUCAACAGCAACACCUCAUGUGUCAAUAGCAACACCUCAUGAGUCAAGUCUACUGUGGCUCUAAAUAUUUCAGGCUCCAUUUAGAACUUAACUUUACACCAACUUGGGUGCCCUUCAAGGAUUUCCUUAACCUUUUUGGUACCAGGAAGAGAAGAUGUGUGCACAUGCAUUUUCUCUUUUUGUAGGUAUGGAAUUAUGGCAGGCACAAGUACAAAAAAUAGCUCAUCAUCAUCUUCCUCCUCCUUCAACAAGAACUUCCUAACUUGCUCCUCCCAAGAUCCCAUUAUCUAGUGUAUGUAUAUAUAAAUCAUAUUCUUAAUUAGCACAAUGAUCUAAUCAUUUAUGAUAUACCUAAUAUAAAAAAUUAAACCAACAAUCAAACAUUAGAUAGUUUUGAUGCAUCAGGUAGCACAUACACCAUGACUGAAUGCAUGCAGUAUGCAGAUAUCAGGUUCAAGGCAGUCUUUUGCUUGUGUUCUUUCUUGUUUCUAUUCUAAUUGAAAUAUGCACCAAUCACAGUACCAUCCACAAUCAUGUAGUUCUAUACAUCCAUAGAAAUUUGAGAGAUAUAAAUUGAAAGCGACAGUAUUAUUUUGACCACACUUUUUUUUAGAAAAGAACACAUCCAAUGAUAGGAAAACAAACAAAUCAUCGCAGGUCCUCAUAGAAAACGGGGUGCGCUUUUGUUUAGCAAUGGGUUAUCAUGGCACAUCACAGUUCCAUUGUCACUUACAACCCAUCAACUUGUACUGUUACUACUUGUGAUAUAGAAUAACUACAAAAUUAUUUGAGCCUUGAUGGGCACUAAGCAUUUAUCACAAAGUAUUUAACAUAAUUGUCGCAAGGUACUUGUCACAAAGUACAUGAAAGAAAACACAGUUAUAUGUUGGUCUUUGGCCAUGCAGUGGAUUUGUACCCAUCUAUCAGCAGUUUAACUCGAGCAUUGCAAUUCACAAACAUUUUGCAGAUAAGAGGUAUUCAGUUCAAUUGCAAAGGCCAAGCAUUGCAUAACACAACAGGAAUCUCCAUAAAAAGACAUGAAACCCUAGCAAGGGCCAGGGAGAUGUAGGCUGAGGUGGAAUCACCUUAUGGGUGAUGGGGAGGCAGAGGUGGCAGGGGAGUCCAGAUCUGGCAAGUUCGCCGCCAUAGGAAUCAAGCCGUCACUGGAGUAGAACCUUAGAAAGAAAGGAAAGUGACGUAAGAAGAGGAAUGGGACGAUUCAAAGAUGGGGAUUAGGGAGAAGGGAUGGAGGAGGCACACUUGGACCUAGAUUCUUAGAGACGGGUAGCCAGGAGCAAUGGCGGCGGUUGGCAGUGGCGGUGGUUUCCUGCAGGAGUAGGUGGUGCCUCUCGCCCGCUCGAGUCGGCGAGUGGAGGAGACGAGAGGGACAGGGAGAUGGGGAAGGGCCCCCGAUGUCUUUAGGCCGGGCAUCUUUCUGCAGGGUAAUUGGGCUCGGUUGGGCUGGAGUCCCCUGUGCAACAGGCUGCCAAACGCACGAGCCCGACGUCGUGUGGAACUAUUCCACGUGGGCUGCUGGGGUGGGGAAACGUCCGCAUGGGGAACUGGGCUGCCAAAGGAGGCCUUAAAAGAUGGGACUCUAUGGAACGCUGCAUAAUGGGAGGGCUAGGAUUGUUACAAUAUGUCUGAUAAUGGAUGUAGGUGUUUGUUUCCACUUGUAAUUAUGUAGAUUUUCACAACCAUGAGCUAAAACAAACGAGCCAUUAUAUUAAAAAACACAAAAAAACUAAGUAUAACUAUAACUUUACUAUUAGGUUGGAAACUCUUUUUAGAGCCUUCACAUCAAUCUCAAGGAGACUUGAUAGAAAAAAAGAUAAAUCUUUGUUCUCACAUAAAUUAGAAUCAUCCAGCCACUACCGGAAACAGUAAAUUCGCCGAGUGUAAAAAUUUUGCCGAGUGUAUUUAACUCGGCACUCGGCAAAAUUUUUACACUCGGCAAUGAGGUCGUUUGCCGAGUGCCAUAAAUCCGACACUCGGCAAACCUCUCAGUGACACUCGGCAAAAUUCCGACACUCGGUAAAUCAACGGCGCGUGCAUCGCACGUGCGCUGUCCGUCACCGGACUGGGGCGGCCGUUAGUUCUUUGCCGAGUGUUGGACUCCGACACUCGGCAAAGAGGCCCUUCGCCGAGUGCCGCCCUCCGACACUCGGCAAAUAGAGAAUGUCGCCGAGUGGCAGCACAAGACACUCGGCAAAGGUGUCCAUUCGCCGAGUGCCUAGGCCUGGACACUCGGCAAACAUAGUACUUCGCCGAGUGUAAAAUGUUGGCACUCGGCGAACAAAAAAAAAAUCCUCCCCUGGCCUCCACACUUUUUCUACUCCCCACGUAGGAGAUUUUGUAAUCCAUAAGAAAAGUUGGUAUAUUUUGUGGUCUGUUUGCUAUUUUUAAUGAAAUGAUUGCAUUAAUAAGAAUUUUUUUAUUCAUGUCAGAUUUUAACUGCAUGUACAUGAAAUGAUGGUUUUUAAUCAGUGGAAAAAUUAUAUCCAUAUUAUGGAGUCCGGAUUGAGUUCUCAACCAGGAAAUGAAAAGAAAUUGUCAACAUUGUUUUUAAAAAACGCGACCACGAACGUGUGGUUGAAUGGUGGUUAAAUUCUAAAAAAAGCAAACGAAAUCUGAAAAUCACAAGAUUUGUCAAGAUGUCAUGAUAUUAUGUGUGGAGGCUGUGGUAAAAAAUUGAGAAGGUUUUGCCCAAUUUCUGACAUAUGAUGCUUAGAAGCCGACGCAUCUCCUCGAAGGAUUCAUAGAAGUUAGAGAGGACACAAUAAGAUUUGGAGUCCAAGUGACACUUGAGUUAACGUUUGGCUUCAAAUCUUUUUGCAUAGGCAACAUGCAACACAGAUUGGUUCGUGUCAAAAUUUGGAAAUUUUUUGGAUGCGUUUACUAUUUUUUAUUGAUUAAAUGCAAUUAUAGAAUUUUAGUAGAUAUAAAUGCAAUUUUCGCUAUAACUGCAUGAAAUAAUAGAACAUUAUCAGUAGAAAAAUAAUUUAAACAUUGUUGAGUGAUGUUGACACGAUUUUGCCCAAGUAUAUUAGGAAAAGAUCUGUAAAACAUGUUGUUCAAGAAGGUACAUGAAAUAUUAGUGUAUUUUACCGAGUGCAUAAAAGAAAACACUCGGUAAAGGUAGUUUUUGCCGAGUGUUAGAUCGCAGGCACUCGGCAAAAAGAGUACACGGGCCCACUGGCAGUGUUCUCGUCCUGCUUUCAAAAAGAAAAACGUGUGUUUGCCGAGUGCCUUGGAUCUGGCACUCGGCAAAGGAAGAAGGUUUGCCGAGUGCCACAUCCAAGGCACUCGGCAAACACAUGUUGCCGUUCGAAUUUCUUUACUUUGCCGAGUGCCAGAUCGCAGGCACUCGGCAAAGAACCGGACUUAUGCUAUUCCCGAACCGCCGCGCGCGGCCUGGCCUCUAUCCCAAAAUCUUCGAGUCGCCUGUGCAACCCGCCGCCGCCACCCGCUGUCCGCCACCGCCGGCCGCCCCGCCGCCCCACCGCCCCACCCCGGCGCCCCGGCGCCCCCGCCCCCGGCCCCGGCGCCCCACCGCCCCACCCCGACGCCCCGGUGCCCCGCCCCGACGCCCCGCCACCCCACCGCCCCACCCCGGCGCCCCGGCGCCGCCCCGACUCCCCGCCGCCCCGCCGCCCCACCGCCCAGCCCCGGCGGCCCCGGCGCCCCUUCCCCACGGCCCGCCCCACCGGCCGGCCCCGGCGCCCCCUGUCCGGCAGCCCACCCCAAGGGCCGCCCCCGGCCUGGCACCGGCGUCCCCGGCCCCGGCACCUCUUCCCCGGCCCGUGCCCCCCUGCCACCGGCGUCCUGGACCCUGGUGCCCCGCCCCUGACGCUCCCGCCGCCGCCGGACGUCCCAUCGACUUUCUAGGCCGGCGUCCCUCACCCUUCCGGUAAUGAAUAUUUCUUUUUCAAGUUACAAAUUCAGAAUUAGGAAGUAGGUUAAAAUUAGAAAUUAGAAAUUAGAUAUUGUAGGGCUGUAGUUGUAGAAAUUAGAAAAUGAUGUUUUUCUUGAGAAUCUAAGGUAUAAGAAUGUUUGUGGAAGUCGGCCAUCGUGCCGUUCCUUGUUUUGUACAUGUGGUUGUCGGCCAUCGUGCUGUUUCAUUUGAUGCAGGUUAUGGAAACCUCCACGUGCAGGGGAGGUGCUGCCGAAAAUUGUAGUUGACAGUUGUAUGUUUUUUUUUUCAGGAGAGGCUACGUUACCGUCCUCGAGUCGUCACUUUGUACGAUAGCAAGGUGAGUUAUCCUAUACCUCUAUUUCCGUAUGAUGUUCGUAUAUCACGUAACCUAGUUAGGCGUCUCCCGUUCGAAAGAGAUACGGUUGGAAAUAUGUAGAUGUUUGCAUAUUUAUAACCGUAUCUGUUUCGAAUUGUCCACGUCACUUUGGACAGCACGAGGAUGUGUAGGUGGGUUUAGUUUCCAUAGUCUACUCCGAUCCGAGUUAGAAUUUCGGCAGCACCUCCCAAUUGUUCUCCGGAUACACAAUCUCCAUUCCAGGACGUGUAUUUGGAGAACAGCGGGGAGGUGCUGCCGAAAUUCUAUCUCGGAUUGCAGUAGACCAUGGAAACUAAUCCCACCUACACAUCCUCGUGUGGGAUUAGGACCUAUCUUCACCUAAUAGAUAAUAUAGGAACGUGUAGAUGCAACGUGAGUUUUUAUAUUACUCGCUGAUAUGCUAGAGGAUGGAGGAUCGUCAGUGGAUGUACACGGGCCGAUCUAGUCAGAAUUCGUUGACCGAUGAAUGGAUAAACAAGACCGAUGCUUUCUUGGAACGGGCAUUUGCAAGGAUCAAAGGAGGAAGAGAUACUUGGUGUCCGUGUAGCAAAUGUGGAAAUCUGCGUCGGCAAACCAAGUUAGAAAUGGGUAAACAUCUUGUUAGGCACGGUUUUACCCCAGACUAUACCAUCUGGAUCUACCAUGGUGAAUUCGAUCGUGGGAGGGACGAGGUCAUCAGACAACGGAUCGAGCAAUAUGAUGAUGACGCCGGGGUGGGAGACAUGUUAGAUGACUAUCAUGAAGCUCGUAGGGAGGAGGAAACCGAGGCUACCGCAAAGGCAUAUUACGACAUGUUGUGUGCGGCACAGCAACCCCUUCACGGGCAUACCAAGGUCUCUCAAUUGGAUGCCAUUGCACGUCUAAUGGCUGUGAAGUCCCAGUUUAGCUUGAGUCGAAACGCCUUCGAUGUUAUUUUGACAGUUUUUGGGAGUCUGCUCCCGGAGGAUCACAUCUUGCCAAAGUCUAUGUAUGAGGCACAAAAACUUCUUCGUGCACUUAAGAUGCCGUACGAGCAGAUACAUGCUUGUCCGAAGGGAUGUAUCUUAUUUAGAAAGGAAUAUGCGGAAUCAAAGUACUGUGUGAAGUGCGAAUCGUCUAGGUUACUGGAGGUAGACUCUGGUGAAGGUCAGAAGAAGCAGCUUGCAAUUCCUAUGAAGAUCCUUCGGUACCUUCCCUUCAUACCGAGGAUCCAACGGCUAUACAUGUGUGAAGAAUCCGCAAAACAAAUGACAUGGCACAAAACCGGACGUCGAUACAAUGCUGAGAAGCUGGUACACCCAUCCGAUGGCGAAGCAUGGACAAAGUUUGAUGCGAUUUAUCAUGAGAAAGCUCGAGAGGCUCGUAAUGUACGGGUUGCGCUCGCAACAGAUGGGUUCAAUCCUUAUGGAAUGGCUACCGCCCCGUACACCUGUUGGCCUAUGUUCGUUAUCCCCCUCAAUCUCCCCCCUGGUGUUCUCUUUCAGCGACAGAACAUAUUUUUAUCGUUGCUAAUUCCAGAACAUCCAGGAAAUAAUAUGAGUGUGUACAUGGAGCCUUUGAUUGAUGAUUUGAUCCGUGCAUGGGAUGAAGGGGUAUGGACAUACGACCGUGCUACAAGGACAAACUUCAAGAUGCAUGUUUGGUACCACUACUCCUUGCAUGACUUGCCAGCAUAUGGUAUUUUCUGUGGUUGGUGUGUUCACGGGAAGUUCCCAUGCCCAGUAUGCAAGGCUUCUUUGAAAUUCAUUUGGUUGACGAAGGGUGGCAAAUAUUCUUCAUUCGACAAACAUCGACAAUUCCUUCCUCCUGACCAUCCUUUCAGACGAGAUAUUAGAAAUUUUACAAAAGAUGUCGUAGUUAACGACCCUCCACCGCAGAUGCUUACCUUAGCCGCGGUUCGUGCUCAGUUAGACGCUCUUGAGGUCAACAAUCAAGAUGGUGGUUUUGUGGGAUAUGGCGAGCAACAUGCUUAGACUCAGAGAUCGUGCUUGUGGAACCUCCCCUAUUUUGAUGAUCUUCUUCUCCCACACAACAUUGAUGUUAUGCACACUGAAAAGAACAUUGCCGAGGCAAUUUUUGGUACAAUUAUGGACAUUCCUGACAAGACAAAAGAUAACGUUAAGGCUACAGUGGAUCAAGCAAUGUUAUGCAGCAGACCAAAGUUAGACAUGGCGCCUCCCAGAGCAGGCAAGUCGUGGAGAAAGCCUAAGGCUGAUUUCGUCCUGACGAGGGCCCAAAGGAGGGAGGUAUUAGAAUGGUUCGAAAUGUUAAUGUUCCCUGAUGGGUAUGCAGCAAAUCUGAAGAGGGGAGUGAACUUAGCUACUAUGCGAAUCAACGGGCUCAAAAGUCAUGAUUAUCACAUAUGGAUUGAGCGCCUACUUCCGGUGAUGGUUCAAGGUUAUGUCCCUGAGCAUGUGUGGUAGGUGCUAGCGUAGUUGAGUAAUUUCUUCUGCCAGCUUUGUGCUAAGGAGUUAUCUCGGACCGUGGUUGACGAAAUGGAAAGAAUAGCGCCUGUGUUGCUCUGUAAGUUGGAGAAGAUCUUUCCUCCUGGCUUCUUCAAUCCGAUGCAGCAUAUGAUUUUACACCUCUCUUAUGAAGCACGAAUGGGGGGGCCUGUGCAGGGCCGUUGGUGCUAUUCAAUUGAGAGGUGUCAAAAGGUUCUUCGAACUAAAUGUAAAAACAAAUGCAAAAUUGAAGCCUCCAUUGCAGAGGCAUACAUUCUGGAGGAGAUGUCAAACUUCACAACAAAAUACUAUGCUGACAACCUUCCUAACGUGCAGAAUCCACCGCCUCGUUACAAUGACAGCGAAGUUGAAUCGAGCCUUAGUCUUUUUCGAGGACAACAUGGAAGUGCAAGUGGUGCGACACAAAAAAAAUUGAAACAUAAAGAGUGGCACACUAUCAUGUUGUAUGUAUUGACCAACCUAUCCGAGGUGGAGCCGUACAUACUGUAAGUUCUGAACAAACUAGUCUUUUCUGAAAUUGUCAGUAUUCUUCGACAUACUAUCAUGUUUCUCGUUGGUACAGGGAAUUCCAUCGUAAGUUCUGGCGUAAUUCAAGGGAACCUACCCCACACGAAGCCGAGACUCUUCUCAAAGAGGGUGCAGGAAAUGGAAUGCCCAAUUUUAUUUCUUGGUUCAAACAUAAGGUACAGUCGAUUUUAGAACGUACAUAGCUUGAUUAGAAGUUGAUCGUAUAUGCGAAUAAUAUAACGAACCACCCUACUUCAACUUGCAGGCUCAAACCGAUUCGUCUAUGAAUGCCGAGUUGAGACAGGUUGCCGAUGGCUGUGCCUACAGGGUCAAAUCUUUUACCGGUUAUGAUGUAAAUGGAUAUCGCUUUCACACAACAAGCCAUGAGCAUAGUCGGCCCAAUCGAAAAACGACAAAUAGCGGAGUUUUUACGCCAGGCUUUGAUGGUGUAGAGUACUACGGAAGAAUUGAAGAGAUAUACGAACUAACUUUUCAUGGUUGCAAAGUGCUUAAUCCAGUCAUAUUCAAAUGCCAUUGGUUUGAUCCAUCAGUCGUGAGACGGGCACCUAAUCUUGGGUUAGUCGAAAUUCGCCAAUCAUCCAUCUUAGAAGGAGACGAUGUAUACAUUGUGGCUCAACAGGCCACGCAAGUUUAUUAUUUGUCAUACCCGUGCCAAUCGGACGACCGUCUUAAAGGUUGGGAUGUUGUGUACAAGGUAUCGCCGCACGGUAAAUUACCUGUACCAAACAAUGAAGAUUACAACAUUGACCCCAACACAUAUGACGGAGAUUUUUUUCAAGAAGAUGGGCUCGAAGGGAAUUUUGAGAUUGAUUUAACCGACGGUAUGAGAAUGGAAGUGGACAAUGAAAUGGUUGCUGACGAUGAUGCUGGAGAGGAGGUUCAUAAUAUGAAGGAGUUAGAAUUACUUCAGCGGUUACAGUUAGGAUAGGAGAUUGAUGAUGACAACCAUCCUUCGGAGCACGAGAAUGAUUUUAUUGACACGCGUGACAGCGAUGAUGAUGAGACUUAUGAUCCAGCUAAUCCUAAUCAUGACGAUUAUUUCUAAGACAUGUAUGGGCUGUACAAAUUUAUUUAAUAUUUGUCAUACCAUGUUAUUUAUUAAGUAUGUUUACUUUAUUUUGCACAUCUUAUACACUAUCUGUGCUAAUUGGUUAACUCUUGGCAAAUGCAGGUGACUCAACAAUGGUGGGCGGUACGAGGAAGAUUGCAGCGCUUUACGAAAAAUUAAAAGCUGCAGCUUCAGGGUCAGGUACAAGGUCAGACGCAUCGAGAGGUCGAGGGAGGCGUCGAGGGAGGGGUGGAGGCAGGGGUGAUGCACAGGCCGAGGAAACGGAGGGGGCACAGGUCCUUGCUAGAGGCAGGGGUCGGGGCAGGGGUCGAGGAAAGGGUAAAGGGGUGAGGCCCCCCUCGCCUGCGCCUUCGUUGUCGUCGGAGGACGAGGUACCUUCCGCGCACGCCUCUAGUGACGAGGCGGAGGUGGAGCAGGAGCAGGAGCAGGAGCAGGAGCAGGAGAGGGAGGCAGGGGAGGAGGCAGGGGAUUCGCAGUCCAAGAUCUGGUUGCGAGGUCCCUCGUCCCUCCCGAGGCGACCGAUCCCUCUUCAUUUACGCCCACUGAUUCAACCCACCGGGGCAAAGUAAGUUCCUUUACAUAUUCUUAGUACUUUUGAUAUGUUCAAAUUUACAAUAGAAACUAAUAAUGUAUAUUACUCACUUGUGUAGGAGUUGGACUAAGCUCAGUGGGGGUUCCCACAACCGCAAGGUCAACGGCAUCAUCGGUCUUUUGUGUAGGCUACACUUUCCCGGUCUAGUGGUCUUCGCCGGACAGGAGGAGCCGGCCUACACGUGGGACCACUAUGUCGCCGCCGCCGACGUCGGUGAUCGUGACCACAGGCAAUUUGCGAACAAGGUGGAGCGGGUGAAGGCCGAGCUGUGGGUAAGUAUUCGAAGCACUAGAUUGCUUAAUACACAAGUUUCGCUAGACAUUCUUGAAAAAAUACUUGUUUGCAAUGUGUCUAUACGCAGGACUUUUAUAGAUGCCAAGAGGGAUUCAAGGCUAGGGUGGCCUCCGUCAUUGAACUAGCCGCAAAGAAGCUCGUUAAGGACAUGCACUACGAGGCGCGAGUUCAGGCCAUCAUCGACUUCUAUGCUGAAUACAAAAGGAUGAGGGUCAAAAAAGAAGAGGCCAGGACAAUGAACCUGACGAAGGAAGAAUUCAUGAUGGUACGUACAAAAAGUUAAUAUUUAGUAUUUUUGAGAUUAAUUACACUUCACUUCUUUUGUUAUAUGUCACACACUUGAUGAUGUAGGUGCCUCCGUGGUGGUGCCGAUCCUUUACCCGGUGCUGGGAACAAAUGGUGGACGUGUGGUUGCAGCCCGGGUGGUUGGAGAACCACAUUGCUUGCCGGGAGCGGCGUCUGCAGAUGCCAUAUGCACCACACCAUCAAGGCAGCCUGAGCCUUGAUGAAUACAAGGAAAAAUGGGUACGUGAAUUCAUUUCUUUAUUAUCACACAUAAUGCACAUAAUACUGCAUAUUUUGUAAUCCUUUUGUAUUUUUGCCGCAGACGUCAUCGCAUGAAGGCCAGGAGUGCUCCCGGUUAAAGGCAUGGGUUAUGUCCAAAAAGGGCAAGGCCUCGGCAGACAUCGACUUCAACCCGGAGGACCCCCCCGAGGCAUACAGCCAUCCCAGCAUCCACAGCCGCGUCACCGAGUACACAGCAAUGGCGAGGGAGGUUCAUGGGCCAGAGUUCGAUCCGAGCUCUCAGGAUAUAGAUCCUGAAAUUGUGAUGAGGGUGGGAGGAGGGAAGAAGCAUGGCAGGUACUGGAUUGGAGAUAGCGUGAUCGACACUGCCAGUACUCCCACCCUCUCCCAGAUCCGAGCAAGGAGCACUGACUCGAGCCCCGCGAUACGGGCACGGCCUACCGCUGCACAGUUACAGAUGCAGGCUCUGCAGGUUAUUCCUGUUUCUUUAAUUUUUCAUUCAUUUUGUUCAUAUCUUGGCAUUGGCAAUAAGACAUUGGGAUGAAAUAUUGUAGGCCCAGGUGGAGGUAGAACGGAAGCGCCGGGAGGAACUAGAGGCGAGGAUCGAGGCGGAUCGGCAGCUAGAAAGGCAGAGGACGGAGCAGAUGUUCCAAUACAUGCAGAGUGUUUUUCACAGUUUAGGUCAGACUCCACCACCUAUGCCACCGAACCUAUUCCCGCCACCUCCACCACCUCCUGCAGCUACUCCUGUGAGUCACUCUCAACCUUACAAUCAAUCUAGAGUUAAACUAGAAACUACAGGCACUACAGACUUACACUAGAAAAGUGACUAAUACAAUCUCUAUAACUUUGUGCAGAAUCAAUGGGCGGCGUCCAAUGCAGAAUCUUCUUGGGGGCAGUGGCCACCUGCACAUACUCCUCAGCCUCCUCAUCCACCUCAUCCUCCUCAUCCUCCUCAGUGACUUGUGAACUAGAGGUGUUAGCUGUGGUAAAACUUGUGAAUUACCUGUUUCGACGAGAACUUGUGAAUGUUAUUUGUGUGCUUGUGAUGCUUGUGCUGCAAUUUAUAUGCCUGUGGUGUAAUUUAUAUGCAUGUGCUUCUCUGGUUGUUUUUUUGAGAGGGGUCUUUUAUACGUAACAUUUUUGUUUUGUAGGGGGAGCUCGGGCACUUUGCCGAGUGUUAACACUCGGCAAAUAGCCCAUUUUCUGUUGUAUCGACGUCUUUGCCGAGUGCCAUUGUCUUGGCACUCGGCAAAGGUGCCAAAAAAUUUUUGCAGAAGGGCCCUUUGCCGAGUGCCAAGGGACGGCACUCGGCAAAACAUGCAACUUUGCUGAGUGCCGCAGGCAAACACUCGGCAAAUGGCUAAACUAAUCUGGCGGGCGGGGCUCCUUUGCCGAGUGCCGCAUAGAAUACACUCGGCAAAGGGUAAAGCUUCGCCGAGUGUAUUGUGGAAGUACACUCGGCAAAGGUUAAAUAUUCGCCGAGUGCAAUGUAGAAAUACACUCGGCAAAGGUUAAAGCUUCGCCGAGUGCAAUGUGAAAAUACACUCGGCAAAGGUUAAAGGUUCGCCGAGUGCCAUCUUCAAUACACUCGGCAAACAUUAUAGGUUCGCCGAGUGUCCGCCGUCUGACACUCGGCAAAGGAGCCGUCACCGUUGCUGACCGUUACCAUCUUUUUGCCGAGUGUUAUACUUUGCCAAGUGUAUUGUGGCACUCGGCAAUAAGUUUGCCGAGUGCCUGAUGAUCGACACUCGGCAAACUCACUGUUUGCCGUAGCAAACUUUGCCGAGUAAACGUCGCCGAGUGUUACACUCGGCAAACCCUUUGCCGAGUGUAAUUGGGCCUUCGCCGAGUGCCCCAGGCACUCGACAAAGUUACUGUUUCCGGUAGUGAGCCAUCAAUCUAGGCCCAUAGAUCUAAUGUCAUUGAUAGUAACAACCAUUGGCUCUAUAAUAAAAAUAGUCUAAAUUCUAAAAUAACCAAAAAAUCAAUAUUUAGAUUACGUAUCGAUAUAUACCAUUAUGAAAAAUAACCUAAACUAACCCUCUAAUUUUCAUCUAAAUUACCUACCUAUACCAUUGUAAAAACAAUUAUGUGACCUCCUAAACUUGCAUCAAAUUAACCAAUCUUCCAUUAUUAUUGAAAAUAUAAACUAAAGUAACCAAAUUACCUUAUUUCUAUCUUUGUAAAGACAUCCCACGAUAUAUAUGAUUCUCAAAUACCUACUACCAUUGUUAAGAUAGAAAAUACUAACAUAUACACAUGCAUGUUUGUCACCAUGUAGACCACAUAUAAAUUUAGGAAGUGAUGAGAAUAUCUAUUUCAUGUUAAACACAUAGCUCAAACUAACAAAAUCAACAGAUGUCCAACACAUAGCUCAAACUAUGAAUGUGGAUGAAAAACAUAUCUAUAUGAGUAUUAUGUUAAAGGAGCAUGGUGUUCAUCUUUUAUUAUUAUAUAUGGCACCUUAUUUUUUUAUAAAUAUCUAAUACUUAUAUACGAUUCUCAAAGUUUGGAGCAGUGUAUGUUAAUUAUAAUUUAAACAUAGACAAAAAUUCAGGAGUAGUCAGAUCCAAUAACACAUGGAUAUACCUUACAACUCUAGACCUAAAGUUGCAGAAUUGAACAUUAUGACUUCCCUACAAGGAAACUCUUACAGCAGAUGGCCGUGAAAUUCCUUUUUCGAGCUCCAUAUCGUUCCCUUUGCUGAUCUAGUUGAUUUCUCCAGCAUCAAAAAGACCAAAAUUGCUCCCUUUGCUCUAGAUGAUAUCUCCCAUCAGUUUGCUCACCCUUCCUCUACUCACGAUUUGGCAGAUGAGCAUGUCACCAUUUCGUGUCCAAAGUCCAGCAAGGUGCGGGGUGCGCCAUCAUGUCCUCCAUUGUCUCUUAGAUGAUUUUACCUCCUCUUGGAUCAGUUUGCACAUAUACAACAUGCUAAAGCCUCAUUUAUUCUAUCCCUGACUUUACUUCAUUUUUUGACAUUUUUAUAUUAUUUUAUUUAAUUGUUUUGUGUAAAAACUUGGGACUAACUUUUUUCUUGAAUAUUCAUGAUAACAUUUUCAAAAAAUUCUAAAAAAUAUUUUGAAAAUUUUUGUUAGGUAAGUUAUUUAAAUGUUUUUUAUAGCCACCCUAGCAUUUUAUUGUAGAGGGACAAAUAAGAUAUGUGCAAUGAAAGAUAAUAGUUUCAUAGGCGUCGGGAAAAAACAGCACAUAGAACUAAUAAACGCCUACUCCGUCCUUUCAAUCUAUUUAUAACUUAUUCAUUUUAACAUCAGCUUUAUCGAACAAAGAGAAGCGAGAGGUUUCAACAAAAAUGUUUUGCAGAACAUAACUUGCAAAAACAUCGUCGGCUUUUAAUUAUUGCGGAAGGCAUGCAUUAGAGAUUUAGAGUUGUCGUGAACCAGACAAUUUACAGCUAGCAUGCAGAACCAUCUACAUUAUGUAGAGAGCUCUCGGAGCUAGAAGUUUAGUCAGCCAUAGCCAUCGCGAAGCAAAAUCCAAUAGGUACUUCUUUUUCCAUUAAAGGCUCCGCCCGAAUUUCAUUACCAAAGCAACGAAAUUACAAACAUGGUUCAAGUCAUUUGUAACCCAGACAAAGCUACUGAAGGGUAAAAAUCCUCCAGAUAGGAGGAACAGAGGGCCUGCUAACUGGGGAUGAAAAACAGAGAUUCAGCUAUUACAUCAACCAGAACCAGCAACUAAAUGGUAACCAGCUUAACUGUCUACGAGAUCCUAUUAGCAAAAUCCUUCUUUUCUCCCUCUGAUUUAAGCUUCAUCGGGCAGACAUCUACUGAAGUAGUACCGUUCCUGCGUCACCUGGCGACGCUUCACGAGGGGGGCAAUGCAGUGUCAUUUCCUUUAGUGCUUCUCCGCCCAUCUCCAAUCUAAGUUCAGCUUGUCCUUCGGCUUCUGGAGAUCUGCCAAUAUGUGAUAAAAGAAGUUGCCAGGCAAAUAAUUUCAGUAAGGCCCCGUUUGGAUCAUUGGAAUUGAAUUCCAUCCUAAUAAUCAUAAUUUAGACACAAAUUAAUUAAGCUAAUAUAAUUGUAUGUGGAAUAUAGUUGUAUAUUAUAGUUGGUGGUAUGGGAGAGAUACUUAUAUGCUGCACUUCUACUAUAGAGAAGCGAGUCUAAGAGCGUGCUAUAAGAAUUGAAUUCCAUUCUAAUAACCAUAAUCUAUAGAAUCAAUUUCCAUCUUCCACCCCAUGAAUUUAAGAUAGGCUUAUAUCUAAACUUUGGAAAGUUGUGGAAUGCCACAUUCCAACAUAAAUUAGCCUACUCCAUUAAAUAGAUUCCAAUUCCUUCAAAAUGAAGGGACCCAAACAGGGCCUAAGGGAUUUAAUCUUUUUCCCAUCAAAACAGACUGAAUUCCUUGAUUUCCAUAUAUAGGGCCCAACAGAUUGCUGAGAGGCCUACUGUAUAUAUCUUUCCACCAUUUGCUAUGUAUCUUUUUGCCCACUCCCAAUAUUGAUCAAAAGAGUUUGGUCUACAGGGAGGUCCUAUUACCAUGGCUGCUAGGUUCCAGAGUAUCUGGCUAAAGAACAAUGAAAGAAGAUAUGAUCUACAGAUUCAUCCAAAGGACAACAACUGCAUCUUUUAUCACCUUGCCAAUUUCGCUUUAAAAGGUUGUCUUUUGUGAGGAUGGCAUUUUGAUGAGUUAACCACAUAAAGAUUUUGAUUUUUAAGUGAAGUUUUGACUUCCAAAUCCUCUUGUGAGGUUCUUCUACCUCGAAACUGCAUAAGUGGGAGUAUACGGAUUUGACUUAAAAGGUUCUUUAUUUUUUCCAUAUCCAUUUCGGCCUGUCAUUGGAUGAUAGAGCACAUACAGAGAGCAUGUCCCUCAGCUGCCUUAGACUAGUUUGUGCUCUCUCAUCUAGCCAUCUUCGGAAUGUUAAUCUCCACCCUUUAUUAGCCCCACUUGCUACAUUCCCUGUUUGUUCAUUACAGAUAUCAAACAGCUCCUGGAAUUUAUCUUUAAGUGAAACAGAGCCACACCAAGGGUCCCUCAAAAAGUCAGUAUUUUUCCCAUCUCCAAUUAAAACUAUUCUAUCUUUCAGAUAUAUAUUCUUGACUUUUAAUAGAUCAUUCCGCACAGGGGAAUUGAUUGGCUUUGUUUUCAGUUGUGUGACACCCCCUUCAUUCAUAUAUUUCUUCCUCACAACUUCCUGCCAGAGCCCUUCUCCUAUUUCCAGUUUCCACCACCAUCUGCAUAGCAGGCUCACAUUCAUUUUCCUCUAAUCUUUGAUCCCCAGCCCCCCUUUUUUCUUUGGUUUAGUAAUUUUGAUCCAUUUAAUGAAAUGGUAUUUCCUUUUAGUUCCCCCUCCUUGCCAGAAGAAUCUCUUUUUAGUUCUAUCCAUUCUUUUCAGAAUUAUUUUUGGUAGUAAGUACAUCGACAUGCUAUAUGUUGGAAUGCUGCUUAAACAAGAGUUUAUGAGGGUUAAUCUUCCCCAAAUUGACAUAGAGCUCCCCUACCAUCCAUCUAAUCUCUUCAGCAACUUCUAGUCCGGUAAGAGCCAAUCCAUUAUAUGGAGUCUAGCACCAGAUACCGGGACACCAAGGUAUUUUAUUGGCCAAGAUCCUAUAGCACAGUUCAUCAUUUCUGAGUACAUCAUUGAUUUAUGCUCCUCCUGUGUAAUCAUGAUGAUUUCACUUUUAUUGAAAUUUAUUUUAAGACCUGACAUCUUUUCAUAUAUGAAGAGCAGAAAUUUCAUGUUUUGCGCAGUCUCUUCAUCAUCUUGCAUGCAUAGAAUUGUGUCACCGUCGUACUGUAAUAUCGCCACCCCAUUGGGUAUAUAUUCAGGGAACAAUCCUUUAUCAGUCCAUUUUCUUGAGCUUUGGUAAUCAUUUUGGCUAAGGAGUUACCCCAUUGGGUAUAUAUUCAGGGAACAAUCCUUUUAUCAGUCCAUUUUCUUGAGCUUUGGUAAUCAUUUUGGCUAAGGAGUUAGCUGCCAGGUUAAAAAGAAGGGGAGACAAAGGGUCCCCUUGUCUGACUCCUUUGCCACUUUGAAAGUAUCCUCCUAUCAUAUCAUUUGCUUUCACACUUAGUGUUCCACAAGUGACUACUUCUCUGAUCCAUUUACACCAGGUCUCACAAAAACUUCUUUGCUUCAUGCUUAUUUUAUCACUAUAUUUUUCAAAGUCCAGUUUUAGUACCACCCCAUCCUUUUUCUUGAUUUUUGUAUCAUGUAAAAUUUCAUGUAAACUAAAUACCCCAUCCAUUAUAUUCCUUCCUUUUAUAGAAGCUAUCUGUCAUCUAUUGAUAAUCCUGCCCAUGCUGUCUUCGAAUCAUAGCAUCAACACUUUGGUUAUGAUUUUGAAGCUCCUAUUGAGCAGGCAGAUUGGUCUAUAUUGUUGAAUCUUGUUAGGUUCCUUUGACUUUGGGAUUAGAGUAAUGAUUCCAUAGUUUAGUCUCCCAAUAUCCAGCUUAUGUUCUCCAAAUUCCAUAAUCAUAUCCAUCAUAUCUUUUUUGAUAAUCUCCUAGGUAGAUUGAUAAAAUUCCACUGGGCCUGGAGCUGUGUUUUUCUCUAUUGAGAAAAUCACCUUUUUUAUUUCUUCCUCUGUAGAUGGUCUAGUAAGCAUCUAAUUUUCCUUACUGGUUACUUUCUCAGAUUGAUCCCAGCACUCUGGGUCUAAUUUGAAGGUUGGACUAUCAGAGGGUCCAAGUAAUUUUUUGUAGUAUUGAGUAGCAUGUUUAGUGAUGUCUUCAUCACCCUCAAUGUUUGUGCCAUUAUGUUGCGAACAAUAUAUUGCAUUUUUCCUUUUUUUCCCAUUAGCUACCAUGUGGAAGAAAUCAGUAUUGUCCUUCCCCAUCAGAAGCCACUUUGUGUUGCAUCUUUUGUGCCUGUAUAACUCCUCUUCUUCCAGCAAUCUCAAAAGUUCAGUUUGGAUGAAUGUUUUCCUGCUCAGUAGCUCUCUAGGCAACAUGCCCUCUACUUCUUUCUUUUCUAAAUCUGCUAGCUCAGCUCGAAGAAUAUGUUUGUAUCUCUUGGUUUGGCCUCUCAGGUUUAUGUCCCAGCCUUUCAGAAAUUUCUUGACUAUGUUAGGUUCGAUGUACCAUUUUUCUACGUCAUUCUUAGCAACCACCCUUUCUCCCCAAAUCUUUUGAAUUUUAGGUAAGUAUUAUAUGUGAUUAAUCCAUGAAGUCUCAAAGCAGAAAUGUUUUGUUUUUCUAACUUUCUCUUGAUCAGUACGCAACAACAUCGGGUUGUGAUAUGACAUAUAUCUAGGAAUUUUUCUUAAUUUUUUCUAGGGGAAUUCAGGCUCCCAAUCUUCACUUAUAAGGACCCUAUACAGUUUUUCUAGAGUGAGGUCUAUGUGAUUAUUGCUAUAUGUGUACAUUCCUGCAUUCAGUACUAUAUCUCUUAAUUUAUAGGAGUUAACGAUACAGUUAAACAUGUCUGUGAACCUGUUUCCACAAAAGCUUUUAUUUUUUUCCUCACUAUAUCUUAGAAUGUUAAAAUAUCAUCUUAUUAACAUAGGUAGCUUCCUGGCUACACAAAUGUUGGACAGUUAAGUAAGGAACUGCUCCGUCUUGUCAUCAUGUGCCGGCCCAUACACCAUGACCAACAAAAGCUUUUUUAUUCUUUUUAUCAAAAACUUGAGCAGAAACUGAAAAUUGUUAUUCUUCAAGUUUGAUUAUGUCAAAUAUCUCUACCUUCACACCACAGAGGAUCCCUCCAGAUCUACCUUUUGAGGGCAUCGAGUGCCAGGCAUAAGAUCUAUUAGGAUCAACUUGCCUAAAGAACUUUUCCAAUAGCAGUGUUAGGUACUUCUAAGAUACUUUUUAGAAUAGCAUUCAAGAUGGAGGAUUGUUAUAUGCAGUGAAAGGCUCAAAAUAGCAGUGUGAGGGAGCACUCCAUGUCUCCAUAUAUAAAUCUAAGGCUGCUGCUAGUGAUGCCAAGGUCUCUAUGCAUGGCACAAACCAGGCGAAACAACGAUCAAAACCUGAACUCUUCGGAGUGGCCAUCAAUGUUUCAAUUGCUACUAUCUUGUCACAUCAUCAUCCAGGGUGUAGAUAUUAGAGAACCUUGAAAAAAUCAUAUUUUUCCAGACGAGAUGAACAAAUAUUCAGUUUUGAGUUUUUAAAUCUGAAGUCAUUAAGAUGCUCAAAUAAUUGCUGUAAUAAGCAUCAUGUGGCGCAUUAAACAUCGGCAGCUCUUCAAGAUCAGCCCUAACAUGGUUCUGCUCAUCAUGCACUACUACAGGUCUCGCUAUUACUGCCGGCUUAUCACCGCCGGUUUAUAGCGAUUCUACAACAAAUUAAGCUAUAGGACAUCAAAACUGGUAAUGAAAAAUCCAUCACCGCCGGUUUGUUAUACAAGCUUACGGUGAUAACUAUCACCACCAGCUUGUAUAACAAACCGGUGGUGAAGGGGGAGCUGGACCUGAAAUUUUUGUGUGAUUCAAUUUUGAGAAACUUUGACGUCCACGGCCCACCCCUAGUCCCCCACCCCUACCCCCCACACGACCACACCCAUGGCCCUCCGUCCUCCCCUGAGCGGAUAAUGCUCCCUCUCCUUCCUCGGCUUCUCCUCCGCCCUCCCCCGUCUGCUUGCCUCCCCUCUCUCUCCCUCCGCCGGCACCUCUCUAUGGCCUCCCUCCCUCCGCCAGCGUGCCACUCUCUGGCCCUCCCUCUCUCGGGUGCCCCUCACCUCCCCCCUUCGCUCGCCUCCCCCCCCCCCCCCCGCCACUCGCGACAGUGAGGAGCAGCGGCGGGGCGAGGAGCGGCGACAGCGCAUGAGUAGGGGAGCGUUGGCGCAAGCUGCAGAGGUGGUGUGCAUUGAGGAGCGGUGGUGGGGAGCAGAUCCAGGGGUGGCAGCUCAACGGCGUAGGGAGCAAAUCCAGGGGCAGCUGCGGCGGCGGGAGCAGAUGUAGGUAAGCCUCACUCCCUCCCCCCCUCUCUCCGGGUCACAACAGGGCUCCAGCGGCGAGCGAACGGGCAUGCGGCGGAGGCCGGUGGGUGGCAGGGGAGGCGCGGCGGCGGGAUGCAGCCGGUGGGGCUAGCGGGUUGGGGAUUUUUUUUAAUUUUGUUAAUAGGCAUCACCGCCGAUUCUGGAACCGGAGGUACCCGUCACCGUCGAAAGUCAUACGACGGAUCCGAAACCGGCGGUAAAGGCCGGUUUGGAGCCGGCGGUGAUGAAGUCUUCUGUAGUAGUGAUGGUUUCGCUGCAGAAAUUCUAUAAAGUUCUUCUAUUAAAAAGGAAAAACGAACUUGCACUAAUAUCAUGGGCAACAGAAUAUAUAUAUAGAAUAGUCAAGUAGAAACAUGUGUAUAGGUGUUUUGAAAUGGAAAACCUAUAUAUAAUCUCAAACAGUCCAUUAACGGAGAGCUUACAGUUUUUUGCGAUUUAGCUUUUUUUUACAAGAAAACAAAUGUGAGACGCGCGAACGAACCUCUGUUCAAACAUUUUAUUUACCACCAAAGGCUGUGAUAAGCUAACAUAUGGCAACGCAUGUUCCUUUAUUUACUAUGAAGGACAUGUUCCUUUAUUUACUAUGAAGGACCGGAACAGGCAACUAGAAGGGGUGAAUGGAAGCCUUCAAUAAUUCUUUCAAAGAAUAAAUCCUAUAUUCCGAUUGUCAUUCCAAACAUACCUUACUUCUAAUCGUCAAGACGAUACAAGUCAAUUCAUGAAAAGUUCAUCCUAGAAACGAUUAGAAAUGCUCAAAGCGUAGCGGAAGCAAAUUGGAAAGAGCUCAAAGUAUAGCGGAAGCAAAUUGAAAAGAGCUGCUCACUAAUUAUCAACUAAAACAAGAGCUCCGGUUAAGCAUGCGAGACAUUAGUUGAGCAAAGCUAUUGAGCGAUACAGCAAGCUACUAUUGAACAAAUGCUACUGCCAAACACAUAAGCAUAUAUAUUACUGGGGUAACAAAAAGACAGAGCAAAGAUUACUAAUUUAAAAAGGAAGCUAGUUACUGUCGACACAAGCAAAGGAGCUGCCACUUCAGAGACAAAGCAAUUAACUUUCCAAAGCAAUGAUUUCUCCACUAUUCACAGACAAUGACACUUCAAGUAUUCAGUUCGUGCACCUGAUCUUUACCUGAGUUCCUUGGCUUGGUCUGCUGCAUUCAGAAGCUACAAGCUGCACUGCUGUUGUUGCUGUUACAGAAGCUUGCAGGCUUGCAGACAGAACGAGAGCGGCUGCUAUUCCUGCACGAAUUUUUUUCUUUUUUAUAAUGUUUUUACAAUUUUGCAGAAACGAACAAAAAAAUUUGCAGAAGUAGACCUAUGCCGCCGUACGAAACGGCGGUAACUCCGCCACAGGCAGUUGAAACAGCGGUAGGAGGGACGGAGCGCUGCAUAGCCAUCUACCGCCGUGUGAAACAGCGGUAGGCUGUUACCGCCGUUUCGAAUGGCGGUAGCUGGGGUAUUGUCCUUUCAAGCGGCAACAUGCUCCAGCUUGGUUUAUUUUAGUUUCGCCGGGUUUAUUUUGGUUUAACCAGGUUUAUUUUAGUUUAUUUAGGAGGUGGAUGCUAUAGCCAGUUGAAAUGGCUAUAACUCUGUUUUAAUUUUAAGUAGUUUUUUUUGUAAUUUUGUAUGAUAUUUUUAAAAGUGAAAUAUGUAGUUUCAUUGCAAUAUGUAACUUCAUAAUUUGAGAGAGCUAGAGUGAUUGAAUGAAAUAAUUGAAAAUGAUUUAACUCCCGACCAUUACAUACAUAGCGGUUUCCAGCGAGAUUGCAACGGAUACAAACGAAAUUUAUGCAUAACAUACGAACAACAACGACUCUAGGGUGGAAAAAUAAUUAUAGAUUGCAGUAGCAUGUGCGGCACGGGUGCUAUCCUAAACCGAUGCCGUUCCUAAACCUAGCAUGCCUUAGGUAAUUGAAAUAGCUGGGGAAAGAGACAUGUCUACUUUCUAGUAGAAAUGGCUCUGCGAGGACUGCGAUGGCCCAGCUCCAUAGUAGCCAGCAUACCCAGAGGAUGGCGGAGACGGGGGGCGAUCCUUGUUGUGGUGGUAGGAGCACUUGCACCAUGGAUCGGUACAAAUCAAGUCACCUGCAAUGUCAACCGCCCAAGGAUUUGCGUCAACUUCGGAUUGAAGGUCCUCGACCUUACGCUCUAGGUCAAAGAUCUUGCACUUGAGGUAGUGUAUGUACUCCUGUGUUAGCUUAGGAAGUGGUGGAUCGACCCACUUAGCAUAGCGGCAGUUUCCUUCAUCAAGAUAAGUCUGAAUGUGAUGUUAGUUUGUAGCACAAGAAGCUUAGGUAGAGUAAUCAAGUAAUAACUUGACUCACCAACCCAUACGAGCAUCGAAAGAAAUGGCAGCUUCCAUCACCGUAGCUGUCAUAGAGCUGGACGACACAAGCCACACCAUGGUGACACAUUGGUAACACAUCGUGGCGGUCGUUAUAAGACCUAAGGGAGUUUGGAGGGGCGUAGUUAGCCCUAUCCUCUAGAGGGAACUCGUCGAGGGGUGCCUUAUACUCCGUUGGGCCAAAAGACCCUAGCCAAUUGAUGGUUGGAAUAGGAGCACCCCCUCCUCUUCCCCUCCUCCCAUGACCUCUCCCUCUUGCGGAUGCCAUAGUUCUUACUCGUGCUCAGUGGCGUGGAAGUAUAUGGGAGUCUUACCGUUCUCAGUGAAGGAUAUGGGAGAGGGGGGUUCAAUAUAAGGAGUGCUGAGAUGGAGAUACACUGCACCCCCAUGUGCUCAGUACCCCGUCGUGUUCAAUCAUCCUGAGAAAUGGUACAUAUAGGCUUUGCAGGUGCAGGGAUGUAGGUGUAAGUGUGGAGUCCCAUCUGCCUUAGAAGGCUUCAUGUUCAGGUUCCUUACAGUCUAUAGUGUAGGCUUUUAAGUGAGGGUUCACAUCAAUAGUCUAUAGUGUAGGUUUUUCAGUGAGGGUUCACGUCAACAAUGGAAACUAUUGUUUAAGUAUUGUACCCGUAGAGCAGUGUAAUGGGAAUAGUGUGGAAUCUCAGUACUCGAAGCAUGAAGACAAAAUAUUAAAACAGUACAAGCAACAGUACAAUGGUAUCCGAGGCACUCAACAUGACAAACCUAAAAGAGCACCUUCCCUAGGAUAAAAUGCCUUAGGUAAUGUCAAUCGUUGGAGGACAAGUAAUGUUCUACUGGGUGAACCAGGGAAGUUUCCCCUUCCUUACUAUUUUGGAGGAACAUUCUGCCUCCUGCUUAUUCAUCUUCUUCUGUUGUUCUUCUUCCUGGAGGAGCUGAGCCUGACGAUCUUCAAAUUUUUCCUCCUGCCAUUUUAGUGCUGCCUCUCGAGCACCUAACUGCUGGCGCUGUCUCUGCAGUUCAUCCUUUUUGCCCUUCAAAUGGAUUUGUUGUUGGCGGAUGCGCGUUCUUCCUUAAGCCGAGCAGCACGUGCCGUGUCUCGAGCCGAUUCCAUCCUACCAUAGUAUCGGGCUUUGGUCUCUGCACCACUAGGAUUAUGGGCACCUCCCCUAAAGGCCUAGUAUUGAUCCAUUCCAUGAUGUGCAUGCCUGCAUGUUUAUUACUGAUUAGUUCAAGGUACCGAUACGUAGAACACGUAUUUAAAAUGUUUACGAACAGACUAACCUUGAAAUCAUCGUUAAUGUCAGGACACUUGAAAUACCUACACCCCUUCUUCCCCCUAGGUAUGCGCUCAUUCCAUGGUGGAACCCCAUUUCGCUCCUGCCUCCACGAUGACAUUUCUUAAAGGGCGAUGCAACCUUACUGGAAACAGUUGAUUCGAGUUGGGUAGUGUUAGUAGUGCGUUUGAAUGUUGCUUGAACAUCUCAUAUAUAGAACUCUACUGAGAUGGUCCAUGGACCAUGUCCAUAAUGGCAAAUGGAAAAGGACAUGCAUGGACAUCAUAGCCUACACCGGCGUAGCUAUCAAAGUCUUUGCACCGGCCUACUUGGGAGAGGCGGGGCCCGACUUGGGUGAUGUGACGUCUCGACCAGACAAGCCAUCUGCGAUGCAAGCGGCACUCAGCUUUGUCAUGGUCACUGCUGAGGUAGGGUACGACGGAUUCUCUUCAUCCAUUUUUGUCAUGCUCACCUUUGCUUUGCUGAGAAGAUAGAGGAGAGGGCGACCACAUCCGCUAUCAUACUGAAUAGCCUACGGAGUACUCUACACUCUACCAAAUUAGUAGCCUGGGCAUCGUUUACAAUUUGGUGUUGCAAGCAUCAAAACGUACACACCACACACUGGAUAACAUCGUAUCCUGCACCGGCCUACAUAAAGUAGUUUGUGAUUGAGCACACAUCGUAGUCUAUAGAAUCAUACACGUGAUAGUCUGCACUGGCCUACAAAAGAUAAAGGAGGUCCUAUGCACUAAUGCGUUCUCACUUGAAACAAGGCUCACCUUGACCACAACCACACCUCGCUGCCAGUUGUGCUGUUCUGAUCUGGUACUGAUCAUACGUGAAGGGCUCCGAUGGGGCAACCUCGCAAGGCGGACGUGUAGUUGCGGCCGUAGGUGGUGUCGCGAAUUUCUAGGUGGCUCCCUGUGUCGGAGGCACGAGGGCGUCACCCAACUGUGAAGCACCGAGCUUGUCAGGGUCAUAUCUGAAAAGGGAGUCCACCUGUGCCGAGCUCGACCUCUGGACCUCACCCUUGAUGGAGUCCUCAUCGGUCCCACCAUGGUCUGUGUACCCUAUUAUGGAACCAAAUAAAUGUUAUUGUCAGUUUCGUUCCGUAUUUAAAAUGGAAUAGAAAGCAUGUAUUCAUGACACAUUGAGGUGGCGUAGCUCUGUACCCGGUGGAGCUGAAGACGGUCUGGCUGCACUGUAAGCUCGGUACUGUUGUAGAGCUGUGUUACGAAAUUAUAAGUUAGUACGAGGAAUCGGACAACAUUUUAUCAAUGGAAAAUGAGAAAGUAACAAACACGUACCUGUUGAGGUCACGUACUACAAAAUAGUCGACGUGCUGGGGGGGCAUACCAACACGGUGUUGGUGGGACAGUCGAUGGCCUGGGGGUGGGUGCAUGUGCUUGUGGUGCAGAAGAGGGGCCGGGGUACAGCAGACAAAUGGGUGGCUGAGAAGAUGUACCGGGCUGGUGAGUAGGAGCUAGAGAGAACGAACGGGGGUAGGCAGCCCGUGGUGGAAUCACGACAUCCGUGCGACCACCACGACAGCUGACGGCCCUCAAGAACCUACUACAGAAGCCCAAUGCGCUCCUGUACAGCAUCUCAUGGUCCCUCAUAGUCAUGUCGUAAAUGUUCUCGACGCCGUACCUCAAUGCCGUGUCGACCUCUGCAAGAAUGUCAUACUUUUGGCACACCACAUGAUGCAGUUUGAGUAAGAAAUGAUGCAGAAGCUUACCGCAAUGUCGAAGUUCACAUCCCUCGAAAGCGGGUAUGUCUGCAUCAUAGGCGCGGUCUCCCUCGGUGGCUACCUCGAAAUGUACUUGACCCACGUCCUGGUCCUUGGCAAGAACCACCGAAGGUAUGCUGCGAAAGCGUCAUUGUCGUGUGGACGGUCCUCAUGCUCCACCACCUCUGAAGCUGCCACCUACAUCUCGAUCCAUGGAACCAUCCUUGAACCCCACAGGGUCUCAAGCCUACCACCACCCUGAUGGGUUCACCUAACAUAACCAUCGUGCAACGGGUUAGAGCAACAAAAAAUCUCUAUUACAAGGAGAAUGAUUGGGUGGGGUGUACCUGUAAACGGCGGCCAGGACGACGUGAGUAAAAGGGACUGGGGAGUGCUGGUACCGGUUGAACUGCCUCAUCACACGGUGCACCGCGUACUCCUUGAUGUGGAUGUCGUAGACCAGUGGCCUCAUCAUCAUCCAGUACUGCAUGUCCCGAAGGCACAACGAAGAGAGCCCAUGGGGGGCACGAGCGUGCACCUCCGCUGUGGUGUAGGGUCUCCACCUCACGUUGGUGUCGACAAGAGCGUUGAACUGACCGACAAAGUUAGGGUAUGACUUCUUCGUCUACACCCCAACCCAUGAUCCCUACAAAAAAUAAAGUCACGAAAAGGUUCACUAAUCGAAACAUGAAAUCAUGCAUCAUAUGAAUUGAGUAAUUGUAGGUCUAGUACCGUACCUUCCUCAAGCACCAGAAUGACCCCAUCGUGGGUCUGUCGAUGUCAUCGUGCUCGAAAGGCAGCUUCGGGUAGGGGGCCAUGUCAAUCCGGGGCCAACCUAUCGAGAAGCGCUCGUACGACAACAUCUGAAGCAGCAAUGGGCAGCCAACGAAGAUGGGCUCCAUCAAGGCUACCUUGCAGCAGCCCGUGCAAAGGCCCCCUGUAGGUCGCUACCAAUACAGCUGAACCCCAGCUGUACUGCAGAACCUCAUCCAGCAGGGCCUCUGCUAUGGCCCUCGCGUAAGGAAGUAGGUGCUUAGGCACAGAGUUCCCCUGGGACUUGCAAAACAUGAUCCACCUAAAGAGCCAUAGCAGGUACGCCUCCAAGUGCCGCGCAACUAUGGCAUCGGCGGUGGUGUCUGUCAUGUAGUCGGCCUGAACAACAAUAAAAGAUAGUUGACAAAUUCACAAAAGUUAGAGAAAAUGAUAUGAAAAGUCAGGUAACUAAGUACUCACACUGAACUGCAUGAGCCACUUCUUCAUGGGCCCAUGUGUCGUGCUGAAGGUCCGAUACGGCUCAGCCUGAUCGUUCCGCUAAACAUGGGCAAACCGGGCCAACAGCUCCUCACGCUAGCUAACUAGCACGUCCACCACCGCAACGGCCCUCCCGGCACAAGGAAGCCCAAGUAGGAGGGAGACAUCCUCAAGUGUUGGGGCCAUCUCACCUACUGUGAGUUGGAACGUGUGCAUCUCGGGCCGCCAAUGGUCCAGAAGAGCUGCUAGCAGUCCCAUGUCAAAGUGGAAGCGUGUCUACUUCUCUACACCCCGCGCGCUGGCGUUGACCAUGUCUCCCUCAACCAACCUCGCUAGAGAGAUGAGGCCCGCAACGCGUAACCUGUACCAUGCAUACCAUUUAUUAGUUCAAACAACGCAAUGUUAGAACUUACCAUUUAUUUAACUAAGUACAACAUACCUCGGAAUCCAACGGGCAUCGAUCGGCAUUGUCGGAAGCGGGACACGUGCCCGAAGCAUGGCGAGGUUUGCACCCCGUACGGUAGACAUGAAUGACCUGUGAAGGCCGUCCAAGGUAGGGUUGAGCAACUCUGGGGUCUAAUACCCCUCUAGAACCUCCUGCACCAUACCUGUAACACGAAAAAUAUAAGUACGCGCCCAAAAUAAUAACAGAGGAAAAACAUAAAUGAAAUAAAAUGCACUAGACAUGAGAUAUUGCAAAGGCAACAUAAAUGAAAUAGUACAUGAUACGCUAAUAUUAUAAUGUCUUACUACUACAACUAAGAAAUACAGGAGUCUCUCCACAUACAACAAAUGUCACGAAUAACAUUACAUAUGACAAGGUCUGCCUAACGUACGAGUUCACAAACAUACAACACAACGAGUUCACAAACAUACAACACAUGAAUCACAGAAGCCCAUCAUUGUUGCUACAUGCACGACAACCCCGACCAUGCGCUGCAGCAUAUGCGUCACCGCUUGAUGGUCCAGCUUGGCUACUCCCAGCUCCAUAUGUUGUUGCAAGGCAAUUCUUGUAGGUGUGACCGGCUUCAUGGCAUUUGGAGCAUAGGCGGACAUCAGGACCGGCUUCAGAUUGAUCCAUGUUGUUUCGGAUGCGUCUGUUCUUGCAUCGCCCGACCCCUUGGAACAUUUCUGGAUCAGGGUCAGGAAUGUAGCGCGUGGCAUUACCAGGAUUGUUUAUGAAGUUUCCUAGUAAACGAUAUCCAUAAAUUUUGUUCCUCCAAACGUGCCAUACGGUUUCCUUCAGGAAGUAAUGCAGCAUGAACAAACGAGGUUAAAGUCCCCUUGCCUCGAUACAUGAAGCAAUGACAUGGGUGCAAGGCCUGUGCAGCAACCUUGGCCUCUUGCAAGAGCAAACACACCCUUCAUUGGUGAUGAUGCACUCCUAUGUGUGCUUCUCGCGCCUCCCCCCCAAUCGAUCUUUGUCCCUACAAAGAACCUCAAACCACCAUUCCACGGCUCCCACUUCAUAAACACAUUGCUUAUGAGCCUUCUUAAUUGCUUCCUCCAUAUACUCUGUCAUCUUGUACCCAUAAAUUUUGUGAUUGUCGCGCACUGAGUUAUCAACCACCCUGUACCUUUCCUUGAAGUACUUCAUGGUGCAGUGCAAAAAGAAUUCCACAAUACCAACAAGGGGCAGUCCCUAAACACCGCACAGGACCCAGUUGUAAACCUCAGCUAGGUUUGCAGUCAUUAUACCCCACCGAUCACCUCCCUCGUCAUAGAGUAAUGCCCACUUUUCCUUCGGCUCAUGCUCAAUCCACUGUGAGAAGCUCUUGAUGGACCUUUCCCAUCUUUGCCUGAUAUUCAGACCAUUGAGUACGACGUCCUCCAGAGACAUAGGGUGCUCGGCCUCACUGUUUUCUGGCCUCUUGCCUAGGUCUUCGGAUUGUUUCUUUGUAAGCUAAUCAAAUUUCUUCCACAGUAGGUUGAAUUUCCUCUCCUAAUUCUGGGUACAUAGCCGCUUGAACAUUUUCAUAAGGGUCUUGUUCUUGAAUUAACUAUGGAAGUUUGCCCCCAUAUGUCUCAUGCGCCACCUGCUCUUCAAGUCCGGCCAUAUCGGAACCUUGAAACGCUCCACACUACCAUUCUGUAGGUCUUCGAUUUCUUGUAGAAUGCCUUUGUGCUGAUCAUAAAUUAGACAAACACCCUUCACAUCCUUCAGAAUCAUCUGCUUCACUCUCUCAAGGAACCAAUAUCAACUAUCUCCAGACUCCUUCUCCACAAAGGCGAUUGCGAGCGACAACACCUGAUUGUUACCGUCGGCUAUCAAGAUUGUGCCUUUAUACCUUCCAGUUAGAAAUGUGCCAUCAAUGCAACUGAUUGGGAAACAUCGCUGCAAAGCCUCAAUGUAAGGACCCAAGGGCAAGAAUGACCACUGCAACACCUAUUUGCUUGGAAACUGAGCACAUGGAUAGGCUUUCAGGUCGUAGUAGCUUUUUGGGUUCCUCUGGCAUAUGGUGUGCAACAGGAGAGGGAGGUUGUCAUAUGAUACUUCGUAUGUACCCCACUUCAUCUCCAACGCCUUCUGCUUAGCUUGGUAAGCUUUGUGGUAGCUAAUCUUAUAAUUGAACUUCUCCUCUAUGGCACAAACAAUUGACUUGGGCUCGAAGCUGGGAUUCUCCACUAUCUGAGGAUACAAGUAUUGAGCAACAAAAUCAGCAGUGAGGUUGCGGUGUAUUCCAUCCAAUUCAUCCAGCAAGCAUUGGUGCUCAACCACUCUAGUUACCUUCCAGUAAUCCUUCCACUUCCCCUUGUAUGCGUGCACCCAAAACGGGCAAUUGCUUCUCACACAGCAGACAUCAUACACCGUCAGAUUGCUCUUCACCACUCUGAACUGCCGUUGCAAAGAUAAAGUAGAUCAUCGCUUCACAACUGCCUUCACCUCAUCCCUACUAGGGUACAAAACAUCCACGCAAACCUCAUUUUCCUUGUACUCCCAAGGGACAUUUUCCCCUACAUUGACCUGUAGGGCGGAAUGGUCAUAAGUUGACUAGUUCCACGGGAUAGGGUAAGCAUCUUCCUCAUUCGAUGAGUCAUCAUCCAUGGCACCGUUAGCCUCUUCUCCUUCCCUCUCCAGCUGCUCAACUAACUCAGGGAUGUCUUCCCCCUCAUCAGCCUCCCCAUUUAGCUCACGGCUCUGCAUCUCCCUCUUCUACCCCAUCUUCCUCAUCUUUUUCAUUUUGCCCAUCAGUACUUCCACACCUUCCAUGGCUUCAACUUUAGCACCUCCUACUUGUUCUUCCAUCUAACUGCCAGACCCAACCUUCAUGAACACUUGAACAUACAAUAUGAGCGGUAAACCGCGCUUGGUGCAACCAUUUACAUAAACUCGGUAGUUCUGGGUUCCUUCCAGCGGGAUUAGCUCCCAAAAAUUUAUGCCAGCCUGUCUCCUCACUACAGCCCUAACAGAUAGAUCCACUUGAUCUCUAUCAAGAUCAAAAGCCUUACAAAACUACUUGCAUAUGCCUCCCCAAGUCCUCUCUCUUGCUCUUGGUAAAUACUUGCAAAACAACUAAAAUCCACUCAAAUCUACCCCUUCUGGACCAUAUCUAACGUUCCCCAAACCAUAGAAUACUUGGAAUUAUAAACUUUCCGACAUGCCUGCCAAUAUACAUGAUACGAACAGUGGAAGUUACUCUCAAUAACUUAAAUCAGUUAACUCCAACGACACCUACAUUUCAAUAUACAGUACAAACAUGUAAUUUCUUCAUCGACAGUAAUAACCAUUUUAGAGUAAUAAAAAAUUAUGAACUAAUACAUUUCAUUUUACCCGGGUCAAUGUACACGAGACUAGCAUAGGCAAUUACUAAAUGUUACUACAUUAAUCUAACCCUAAAUAGCGGGUAAAUAUACACAACAAGAACAAAAGUUCUAAUUAAAUCUAAUAAUUCCAACAACCCCUGAAACAACUACAUUCUGAAUACCUAUACAUAAUAUAACCCUACCAUUGCAAAUAAUAUUUAUCUAAAAUUAAUCUACAUAAAUCAAUAGACUAAUUUUACUGCCAACUAAAUACCUAAGCUAAAUCCACUAAACUGACUAAGCUACAUUUUUUUAUGUCUCAAAUCCACUGAACUAACUAAUGUACAUUUUUCUAUGUCUCAAAUCCACUAAACUAACUAAACUAACUACUAGAUCUAUCCACUAAACUAACUAAACUAUAGGAUUAGAAAAAAUAUCUCUAACGAAGCGCAGAAAUACCUCUAACUACUAGAUCUAUCUUCUCUCGCUGGCUUGCACUCUGGUUCGCUCUCGCUCUGCCUCUCACACGUGCGUAGGCACAAAUGAAACGGGCCAAGCCUCCCGAGAUCUAUCUUCUGUCGCUGGUUGGCGCUCUGGCUCUCGCACACGCGCAGGCGCAAAUGAAAUGGGCCAAGUGCCUGGGGCGGCCACGGUGAUGCUUAUAUGGGGGGAGCUACCGCCACCUCAUUUGGCGGAAACUUCCCGUUUCCGCCAUUUCAAAAGGCAGGACCUGCUGCCGCAAAAUGAGCCAGCGGAAGUGCCUCGUCCCCCACACCAUUGGAUUUCGUGUGUAGCCCGCUGGAUGGGGGCGGUAAGCGGUAUGUGGAGCUACCGCCGUUGCACCCGGCGGUAGCUUCCCCUAACACCGGUUGAGAUGGCGUUAGCCUGUUACCGCCAUUUCAAGCGGCAGCAUAGGUCUAUUUCUGUAAAUUUUUUGUUCGAUUAUUUAUUUCUGCAAAAUUAUAAAAAAAUAUAAAAAUAAUAAAAACGCUGCCUCCCUUGGGCCAAUCGCUCUGGCCUGGCCUGCCUUGUGUUGGGCCACGAGCGUGCGCACACGCCCUGGGCUGGCGGUCCCACGCUGGGCCUCCCCCUAAGCCAGCCCGCUCCACCCGCAAUGGCCUGCUUCAGACAGCAGCCAGACGGGCCUACUGCACGCGCCGGAAAUUAGGUGGGCCUUGCAGCUGCUGCCGGCGUCGGCCUGCCGAGAGCGCGUGCGUGCACAGCGCGUGAGCAUGUGCACUGCGUAUUGCUCGCUGCUCCUUUCUCCUGCACUCAAACAGAGAACAGAACACACAAGAACACGAAGAACAAGCUCCCAACUUCAAACGAAACGUCCUCUCUUGAAACACCACGGUUCAAAACAAAAGUUGAGCCAUAGAAGCAGCUCCUUAAGGGCUAUUCACCACGGAUUUUGGAGAAAACUGAACGCCUUGCAAAGAACACGGUUUAUAAAAACUUCAAAUUCACGCCGAAUCCGUGAGGGAUUUGAUAGGGGAUCAUACCAAAGCCAAACACGAAGAACGAAAAAUCCCUAAAAAUACCUCCAAAAAAUCGAAAAAAAGAUAAAUUUCAGAUUCAAAGAGGAUGGAACAAGACGACAUGAAAUUGGUCUUUGAAUUACUCUAUCAUGUUCGGUUACAAGCCACUCCUAAAUACAAUCAAAGCUAGGAUGGCAAAAAAAAUCAACACAAAAAGAUCCACUCCUCUCUCUCCCUCUCUCACACCCAAAGGCUCUCACAAAUAAAAGAGAAGCCCCCCACCAAAGAGAUGUAGCUGCCCAACACCCCACUUCUCAUAUAUAUAGACAUUUGGAAAAUAUCCAAAAUGCCCUUACAUUAAGAUACAACCCAAAUAUCCCCAAGAGUAAAAUCGUCCAACUUUUUCCUCAUAACUCGGACAGACCAGGCGCCUUCACGACUUCACUUCACCUUGAUGCAAGCUUCGCGAUGGUGCCAUGCAUCCUCCAACUCGAUGCUAUCUAGCCACACUGGACUCAUCCCCCGGUUUUGAGGUCAAACCAGUCAAACCCUCUUGCACACCCCGCAGGCGUGACUCAUCCCCGGUUUUGAGACCAAACUGAUCAAACCCUCUCGCACGCCCCGCAAGUCGUGACUCACCGAUGUCGACGUGUGUCCAGCCUCCGCCAAGCCUUCGACUCCUCAAAGUCUUUCGUUCCCGCUCCCGGGCCACCUACUCGGCCUGCCUCCGUCCCUCUUGACUCGACUGAUGCCGUCUCCAUCCCGUCCGUGUACUCUUUCUCUUCUGUGCACCAUGUGGAUUGCUCAUGACUCCACCUAGACUCCUGGAGUCCCUCGGUCCAAGCCUACUCGUGUCCACCCUUCACAGCCCUAGUAUAUCGGAAUGAACUUUUCGCUUGAUAGUCGACCACCAUAUUGCAUCCUACACCUGCACAUCACAAGCCAAGAGACACAACCCACGAGAUAUGUUUUACACAUACCACAACACAACGUACUCAACACAACACCUCUGAUUAGCCGUUAGCAUAAACAUGCACAUAUGAAAUAUUAACUUAAUCGGAAAAGUUUCAAAUCAUCGAGACUCAACUGGAAACGUUUUAAAUCAUCCAAUCAAUCACUUAUUACAAAUAGACCAAGGCACAUGUCAACUUGGUCUCGUACUGUCGUAUGUAUAUUUAGGAAGGUGUGACGACGGUGAUAUUCUAGUCUUCGUCCUGGCUGCCGGCAGCAUGCAGCAGCAUCGUCUCCACGGUGAUCCCCGGCCCGAGACCCAACAUGACCCCCCACGCGCAUUUCUCCCGUUCCUCCUCGUUAGCUCCCCGGCGUCUCCACAUCUCCUCGAGGACGAAGAAGACGGUCGCGCCAAGCAUGUUGCCGUACUCACUCAGUACACGGCGGCUGGCCGCCAGCUUCUCCGGCUGCAGCCCGAGAGCGGCCUCAUAGCUGUCCAAGAUCGCGCGGCUGCCAGGGUGCGCCGCCCAGAAGAGGUCGUUCCAGGCGCCGGCGAGGCCAUGCAGAUGCGGCGCCAGCGCCUCCGACAGGCACCGCUCGAUGCCGCCGCAGACCAUCGCCGGCAGGGCUGCGGACAGGCGGUACUCGAUGCCAAGCUCACCGAGCUUCAGCUCCACGACGCGGGCGGUCGCAGGCAGGGUGGUCUGCGUUGCGGACACCAUGUGGAAGAUGGGGCGCUCGGCCGGGCUCACCGGGCCAGCGCCGACGACGGCGCUGCCGGCGCCGUCGGCGAACAGUGCCGCGGCGACGAGCUCCUCGAACUGGGCCUCGUCGGGCGAGCGCACGAAGGUGUGGCCGGUCUCGGCGCUGACCACGAGGACGCGCGCGCCGCGGGUGUUCUCGGCGAGGUCCUUGGCGACGCGGAGCGCGCUCGUGCCGGCGGUGCAGCCGUAGAGGUAGAGCAGCGUGCGCUGCACGUCCUGGCGAAGGCCGAGGAGCACCGCCAGGUGGAGGUCCAACCCCGGAGCGGCGGCGCCGCCGGUAGUGGUGCUGACGACGAGGUGCGUGAUGUCAGCGGCCGGCCGGCCCCACUCGGCGAUCGCCCUGGCCGCCGCCGCGGCGGCCACGUCGGGCAGGGAGCCCGCGGCGAUGCGCAUCCUCGUGUCGAGCGAAGGCAGCGCGCGGUCCAGGAUCUCCGGGUGCGCGGCGAGCAUCUCCUCGGUGAUGAGGUGCCCAUGGCGCUUCUUGAUGCCGGAUUUCUCGCCUGAAAUGCGAUAUGGUGUAGGCAUUGCAACAGAAAAAAAGCAUUAAUCCACUAGAGUGUGUGAUGUGGCAAAACGGUUCUGUAAGGUUUCUGAUUGAUCUCUACAUAUUCUCUUCAUCUUUGCCUUGAGCAUGGCGAGGUGGUCGCUCUUGGUGACCCGGAAGUACCAGUCGGCAAACUCAUCCUGGAGCAGGAAGUGCGAUGGGUUCGCCGUGCCGAUAGCGAGCACGGCCGCGUGCCCGUCAGCGCUGCGCGGCCUCCGGGCAUCCUGAAUGACCGUGGCCGGACUGCCCGUUGCUGCCAUGGUUGAUCUCGCUCCGGCCGGCCGGCGGAAAGAGCAGUGGAAGAAGUACUAGGCCGGUCGUCGUAUGAAGACGGGACAGAGCAAGCUAUCGAAGCUCUUGGAUAUAUAGUAGUGCGUGACGUGGUUUCGUCUAAGCUUGUUUAGGUGGCAAAUUGCUAACUAUUAACCGGUAUCGUACGUACACUGUUAACAAUAUGAAUGGAGCGCUGCUCUUAAGGAGAUGCAUGCUAGGCAUGAAAAUGAACGGAGUUUUUGUGUGCGUCUCUUCACGUGAAAAGAAUGCGGCAUGAGCUGUUCCUUAGUACGACUAGUCCAUUAAACCCUAACGCGCGCCUACAUAUUUAGUUAAGAUGUAUGACCAGUAAUAGAGAUUCGUCCGAAAAUCAUGUUUCGAGAUUCAAACACAUAAGAUGGUGCAAUAAAAAGUGAAAAUAAAAUUAUGAAUAUGAAUGGAAAAGGUGCAUAGAGUAAUUAUUAUUAACUAAAGUUCUAUCACAGCCGGAAACUACGGCUACCUUUUGUGAAUAUUGUGAUAGAAUAUUAAACAAAAUAGACCGGCAAGGUAAAUAGUUUUGAUAUUAGCUGUGGCAUGUGGGUCGGGCUCGUUCGCUUCAGCUUAUUCAGCCGGCUUAUCAGCCACCAAACAGUGUUUCCUCUCACAACAAAUCAGCCGUUUCAGCUUUUCAGCCGGCUUAUAAGCUGAAGCGAACAGGCCUGUCCACAUGCCACAGCUAAUAUCAAAACUAUUUACCUUGCCUGUCUAUUUUGUUUAAUAUUCUAUCACAAUAUUCACAAAAGGUACCCGUAGUUUCCGGCUGUGAUAGAACUUUAGUUAAUAAUAAUUAUUCUAUGCACCUUUUCCAUUGACAUUCAUAAUUUUAUUUUCACUUUUUAUUGCACCAUCUUAUGUGUUUGAAUCUCGAAACAUGAUUUUCGGACGAAUCUCUAUUACUGGUCAUACAUCUUAACUAAAUAUGUAGGCGCGCGUUAGGGUUUAAUGGACUAGUCGUACUAAGGAACAGCUCAUGCCGCAUUCUUUUCACGUGAAGAGACGCACACAAAAACUCCGUUCAUUUUCAUGCCUAGCAUGCAUCUUCUUAAGAGCAGCGCUCCAUUCAUAUUGUUAACAGUUUAUGUACAUCCACGUACGUACGAUACCGGUUAAUAGUUUUUAUGAUUUUUUAAUACUUAUGCUUCUCAAAAUUAUUAGUCCGUAUUGGAGCAUAGGCUGGCUUUGGAAAGUUUAUUAGUUCAAAAAUCAGCUCCCACUAAAAAUUAGGAGUAGGUGGAGCUCUAUCAAACAAGUCGUAAGAGAUUUUCAGCAGAUUCUCAUUUCUGAUUCCCAUUGGGAGAGUUGGUGAAAAUAAUACUCCAGCAGAUCCUCUUUACUUUUCCCUUUUCCCAAAUUAUUAUAACAAAUCAAUAAUCCAUAAAUCAAUAAUCCAUCCCAGCUCUCUCCAAAUAUGGUAGUUGGAUUGGUAUGAGGUUAAUAAUGAAAGAUAUGUUAGGAAAUACGCAUUAGGUAGUUAUUGGGAAAGAUUUAUUUAGAGACUACUGUAGAUGCUCUAAUAUAAUCUAUUCACCAGGCUUGGUAUUACAUUAGGAUCAUUCCUGUGGGUUGCUACGAGUAACAAAACAUUUAUAUUACAAUACAUAUAGCAUUCAACAUGAUAAUAAUAAUGUGAAAAUAAGAAAAAAAUUAUUAAAUAAGUUCAUUGGAUUAUUUACACCAGAGAUACCCAUGUCGCGGCACGAGUGCAAACUACAAAGAGGGGUAAAAGUUUUUUGUUUAAAAAAAACUCUAUGCAAAUGCAAUCAGACUACUACUGCUGAUAAAGAUAUACAUUGUUCAUACAUACAACACAAACUUGUAACUACAAAGUCGAGACAGGCUAUGAAUCGCAUGUACAGUAUAACAAAUGAGUAAACGGAUGUACACUUCACUGGCACAACUACACAAAUCACUAAAAAGAAGGUACCGCUGCACACUACGCCAGAAAACGUUUUUAUUGGCAGGUAAAACCCCACAGUGCUGACGGGUACCAUGCCCGCCAGCAACUUUGAGCCAGCACAAAUGGCGGUCUAUGCUGGCUGGCGGGCGCCCGCCAGCACAGAGAACCACUGUGCCGGCGGGUGACAUAACCAACCGCCAACACAUUGGAUACCUGUACUGGCGGGUGACAUAACCACCCACGAGCACAGUGAAAUUCUGUGCUGGCAGGUGGCCUAACCACGCGCCAGCUCAGAGAAAUUAUAUGCAGGCGGUUGGUUAUGCCACCCGCCAGGAAUAUUUAUUUUCCCACCCUACCCACCCUAUUUAUUAUUUUCUAUUAUUUAUUUAUAAUUUCUAUUUUCCCAGUUCUUAACCGCCAAAUUUAAAUAUGUAUCUCCAACCACAUAAUAAUGAACUUAAAUAAUAAAUAAUUCACAUUACUAAAAAUUGCAUUAUUCACAUUAUUCAUCAAAAUUGAAUAAUAAAUAAUUCACAUAAUUCAACAAAUGGAAUAGAGCUAUACAUCCAUAUGCGACUUAUAUUGUCCAUGCACGAAGACGCUUGCAUCCGUCCGCCGCCAACUCAGGCCAACACGCUCACAGCUAUACUCCAGUCUAUGACAGCCACGCAGCGGGUGAGUGAGGAGAGGAUGAUACAGAUGCAGUCUCAGAUUGCCCAUCAGUUUGAGACCCAGCAGGUCAUUCUUGAGGGUAUGAGACAACAGCAGGAGGCUCAGAGGCAGCAGAUCCUACAGUAGCAUAUGGUUACCAGUUAGAUGUUCUCUUUUCUCUUUGGAUGCCUAGGAUAGCUGUAUGGUCACACUGGGCUGGAGCCACCACCACUUCCUACCACUCAGCAGCUCCAGCACAAUUCCACAGCUCCUCCGAUUGUUGGUUUCGUGCAAACUCCCUUGGCCACUGACCCAGUCUCAUCUCUUCUGCAAAUAGGGAUGUUGUCACUACCACAGACGACCGGGCCUCAGCUUACACAGUCACAGGCUUCUUCUCUCGAGCAGCCACGACAGGGUGAGUUCAUGAGUCCGAUGUCGACUCAGGUGUCUACUUCGUUCUCUACAGCUCCACUUCUAUCAGAGGAGACACCGCCGUAGCCUUCUCUCAUAGCGUCGAGGUCCAGUUCUCCUCUUCUAUCCUUUGUGACACCUUAGUCCGAGGGGCUUGACGGGUCAUAUGCCACUCUUCCCACUAUCACUCAGCAGAUUCAGGUAGAGAUGGCUUUUGAGGUUGAGGGGACAGUUUCCUCUCCUUUGCCCGAGCGUGCAUGCCCGCUUCCCCUCGUGUUGAUCCAGCUCUUCCUGAGAGUUCUCCCAGCAUUUCCAACUCGAGCUCCAAUGCCGACGCCUUGGCAUACGUUGUUCAGCCCUCCGGAUCCGCCACUUCUACCUCACCGCCUGAGGGGGAGUAGAGAUAGGGGGAGCUUGGGGGGUGUUUGUUGGUAAUUUUGUGGAUCUUCAUGUAAUAGACACGUCAUUUGGCUUUUGUGUGUGUUGGAUUAUAUUGUUGACAUGUGUACUCAUGUGUGUGGUUGUACCUUUAUGUUAUUGCUUGUAUGCUUGUUUACCUUCUCCUUAUCUUACUUGUCAUGCAUUUUGUUAUUGAAUUGUGCUUUAAUUUAAAGGCUAAGGUCGUUUCUAGAACUAAGUGUCACAAGGAGAUGAAGGACACUUAGUUCUAUUUAUUUCUCUCUUGCCUCCUCUCUCUCUCUCUCUCUCUCUCCUAGUUCUAGAUCUAGAUGACAAGCUAAAAGGUUGGAAUGGCAUAAACUCACCUUAUAUAGCCACCUCCUCUAAGGACUCCUCCAAAGAAAUCAAGAGCAAAACCUCUCCCCUUAGAUUUGGUGUUUUUAGGCUUUUCCCGAGCUCCUCUUGGGCAAGCGCCAAAAAUGGAAGGUUACCUGGGGAGAAAGAUGAACAGGAGCUUUUAUACUGUGCUCUGUGCUGACGGGCGACAUAAGCCAAAGGCCAGCACAAGUCACCCAUCUAUGCUGGCAGUGGGCUUAUGUUGCCCGCCAACACAGUGACUCUCUGUGGUGGCAGGUGACAUAACCACCCACCGAUGGGGUGACUUGUGCUGGCGGGUGCUUGGGUCACCCGCUAGCACAAUGGCCUUCAUUGGAGCACCAAGCUCCAAAUCAAAAUGAGACUCAAUAAGUUGCUUCGUUACGAUUUUGGCUACUCCCUUUGAAUGCCGACCGUAAAACUAUCUUGCCAACAGAUUACCCUGUUGGAGGUAUGCCCUAGAGGCAAUCAUAGAGAUGAUGAUAUUCCAUUUGUAUCCAUGAUUUAUAUUGUGUUUCUUGAAUAUCCAUUAAAGGCUACUUGAAUUGAUUUGCAAUUAUGUGAAUUGUAUGUGAAACUCUUUACUUGUAUGGUUAUUCUAAAGUUGUCCCUAGUCGGAGUUCAUGUGAGAACAGACAUGAAUAUUAGACUAGCACAUGUAUUAGUUGAUGACUAUGUUUCACAAGUCAUGGACAUGGAGAUGUUGAACUAAUAAUGUGGGCACAUGUGGAGACACGUGCUAGGACUGACCCAACACGAGAAGUAGUUCU
This 66143-nucleotide long non-coding RNA is filed under the name Setaria viridis. RNAcentral describes it as "long non-coding RNA (SVIR_LNC009643)". Lineage: Eukaryota; Viridiplantae; Streptophyta; Magnoliopsida; Poales; Poaceae. The record is from RNAcentral.